AUUUUAUAAUGUCAUUAAAAUAAUAUUAUAAUUCUAAAUUUUUCGAUUGGAAUAUUGAUCUUGGUUAUUAUCUUUCAGAUAAUAAUGACUUCCUAAUUGAAAUUUGGAGAAUAUUGAAUGUCCAAUAGAUCAUAAAUUCAAAUCUUACAUAUAGAGAAAAUUAUUUGAAUAUAAAUUGAGAAAACUGGAAACAAAUGGGGAUUUUACUACUCAAAUAUUGAAUUGAAAGUUUUUUUCGUUAGGAUCUGAAUUUGAAUUGGAAGCCUAAUAUUUUAAUUGUUUUGUAUAUUUUCUUAAUUUGUACAAAUUUUGUAAUGUCAUUAAAAUAAUGUUAUAAUUCUAAAUUUUUCGAUUGGAAUAUUGAUCUUGGUUAUUAUCUUUCACAUAAUAAUGACUUCUUAAUUGGAAUUUGGAGAAUAUUGAAUGUGCAAUAUAUCAUAAAUUCAAAUUGCACAUAUGGAUAAAAUUUUAUUUUGAGUGGUUUAUAAUUGUGACUUAUAUAUUGGAGCCUGUCCAACUCAAAAACUAAAGCUGAUAGGUUUGCCCAAAAAUAUUUUAUUAAAAAAUAAUUGCUCCUUCAAUUAUUAUUUGAUGCGGACUAUUUUCUAAAUUGAGACUAUUUUUACAGAAUUCAUUUGCUUUGUUUUUUUUUAUUUUUCUUAUCUCCUAAGUCAUAAGAUCAUAAAUAGUGGUGAAAAUAGAUCGUAUAAUACUAGAUCGGAUUUGAAUAUAAAUUGAGAAAACUGAAAACAAAUAGGGAUUUAACAAAUUGGGGUUUUCGAAUCGACGAUCCAUACCGUUAAACAUGAUUUAGAGUAUUUGAAAUUUCUAGAAAAUAAAUUUCAUAAUUUUUCGAAAUCAUUAUAAAAUCCAUCAAACGGGUAUAAAAUGAACGGUCAAAAUCGAACGAUAUCCUAAAAAUAGAUGAUUGGAUCCUUCAAUUUAAGAUCGGAGUUAUUGAUCUUUAUUUAAUGAGUAUAGUGAAUAGAAUUUUUAUCAAAAAUUUAAUCCUCAUUCCUGAUUCUUUUUACAACACGAUUAAACUAAGACAAAUUUCAUAUAUCGCCCGGUUAGAAAUUGUCAAUUUUUGUGAUCUUGUGAUCGUAUAGUAAAAAUGAUAGCGAAAAUUAUUAAAAAUUUGCAUUUCUAGAAUAUUUUAAAAUGCUCUAAAAUGUCUUUAACGGUAUGUGAAUCGUUUGAAUUUGAAAGCUCUAUAUAUUGAAAACAAUUUAUGAGUACGAAGGUGAUCGUACUCAUAAGAGUUAUAAUAACUGGACUCAUUUUUACUAUUCAAAAUUUGAGUUGAAAGUUUUUUUUAUUAGGGAUUAUGAAAUUGACAUUUGAAGAGCCUAUAAAUUUUUAAUUUGUUUCUAUGUAUAUUUGUUAAUUUGGAGUAAUUUUUCUAAUUCAUUAAAAUAAUGUAUAUUAAUUCUAAAUUCUUUUCUAUUGGAAUAUUGAAUACUUGGUUAUUAUCUUUCACAAUAAUGCACUUUUAAUAAGAAUAUUGGACAAUAUUGAAUGUGCAAUAGAUCAUAAAUUCAAAUUCAUCACAUAUGGCAUUCAAAUUUAUUUUGGAGGGUUAUAAUUGCGACGUUUAUAUCUGGGAGCCUGUCAACUCAAAAACUUAAAGCCAACUAGGUUUACGCCAAAAAGUAUUUUUAAAAAAUAAUUGCUCUUGUUAAUUAUUACUUUGAUGUGGACGGGUAUAGAUAUAGAUUUUUGAAUCAAGUAAGUAAGAAAAAGUAAAAAAAAAAAAAAAAAAAAAAAAAAUAGAUAUUGACAAAAAAAAAAUUUUAUAGUUUAGCAAAUUUAAAAAAAUAUAAUUUUAUCAAAAUGAAAAAUUAAGAUGCUUACGUGAAAACAAGCUAAAAUUAGGAAAUCUCCACCAAUCCACUGUCACUUAUUAGUUUUGACUUCAUUCAAUAAUUUGUUUAAUAAUUUUUAAUACUAAAAUUUCUUUAAAAAGAGGCUAAACUCUAGAAAAAAAUUAUUAUAAUUCUAUGUAUAAAAAUAGAAGUGACACAUAGCCAUAGUUAGUUAAUUCGGAUUCGGCAAAAAUUCGGUACGGAUAUAAUGCGUAUAAAAUUUGUUUUCUAAUUUUUAAAUUCGUUGAAAAAUUUGGCUUAAAAAACGGAUUUGGUAUAAAAUAUAAAAUAUAAGAUAUAAAAUAUAAAAUAAUUUAUAUUUAAAAAUAAAAUUAUAAGUUUUUUAUUUAUAUUUUCAAUAAUUCAGCACUAAUUCGCGAAUAAUUUGCGAAUAAUUCGGCUGGCCCAAAAAUUUUCGAAUAAUUUUUUUUUCUUUCAAAAAAAUUUGUAAACAGACCGCUUAAUUCGAAUUUUCAAUAAUUCGUGAAUAAUUCGUAAAUAAUUCGCGAAUUUACUAACCAGACACAUAUCCUAUACAAAUGGGUAAAUCAUACGAAAAUUCUCAAUGGAUUUAUUUUUUUUUGCUGUACACAGUGUUGGGUCCGCAGCGUGCCACGUAGCCAACUAUUUUUGUAGGGCCCACACUCCAAAACGCGGUUUUGGAGAAACAGUUUGUAACGAUUUGACUUUCUCGCCAAGCGCUUUUGUCAACGCGAAUCUCCUCGCUCCAACAGGAAAGAAAACAGCGAACCCCUCGUGCGCAUUUUAAAACCCAAUAAUAAUAAUAAUAAUAAAAUAAUAAUGACUAAACUAUACUUUUGGUCCUCGGACUAUUAGUUUCGUAAUAUUUGAUCCUUAAAUUUUAAUUUAACAUAAUUUUGGUUUAAACUUUCUGAAUUAUUACAAUUAAGUUGCACAACUCAAAUUAGAUGGUUAAAUAUUAAUGCAUCAUUAAUGUGAAAGUAAUGUAGUUGUAUUGUGAUUGAUUAUAUAAAAAUAAUAAUUAAAAUGACACAUUACUUUGACAUCAUCGAUACGUCAAAAUUUAGCCAACGAAAUUAAGUUGUGAGACUUGAUUGCAAUAAAUAAAAAAGUUUGAGUCAAAAUUAUAAAUAAGUUAAAAUUUAAGAAUCAAAGUAUCUGUAAUUUAUCUAAACGUGAAUUGCAGAAAUACGAAGUCUACAACAUUGGGGGUUCGUAAUCUUUACGAUCCCCCAAUCCAACGGACCAAAAGAGUUUAAUUACUAACCCUUUUAUUAGUGUUUAAUUAAAAAAAAAUGAUGAUACUAAUUUUUACAACUUGGCCCUUAGCCCUUGGAAAGUUAUAAGAUUACAGCGAUAAAGGGUUGUAGGGCUAGCAUUGCUCAGGUAAAUUGCAUGGAAGGGCCCUAAUUUUUAACAUAAAGUCUCUAUUGAAUUCCUCAUCUUCCAAUGUUGCAUUAAAAUUUGUAGGUGAAUGCCCCAAAAAAGGGGUGUUCACCAAAAAAGGGGUGUAUAUUUUUCUUCUGUAACCGUAUAGUUUAUAAAUCUCUAGGAGUUUUUAGUUUUUUUUUUUUUUAUAAAAGAUAAGAGAGUAUUAUAAUCUCUUAGAUAAAGCGAUGUAAGAUUUACAUUGCUUUUCGGAGUGUAGAAAUAGCAUUCGUUUGUUGCAAUUACAUUCUUAGUCUUUAACAUGCUUUUCAGUUCAACCAUUUACUUUCUAAUUAUUGUAGUUAGGUUCUUAAUCUUCCACAAAUUUCAAUCGGGUCCCCAAGGGACCUUUUAAUUGUUACAACAAAAAUUAUUUUCAUUGACCAUCCCUAGUGCAGGUGGCAAAUAAUUUGAUGGCUAGUAUUGAGGUCCCAAAUUAGAAGCCUAAUAGCUUCACAAAUGCAGCUAAGUUCAUUUCUUAAAGAGAAAAUGAACAAAAAAUGAAUGAAAUAGGUACAUUGCUUGUUGAAUCGUUGACACUAAUCAGUAACCCCAAAAGUUCGAACGGUUAGAAAUAUAAAAUUAAUUGACGUAAAACAUACAGACACAACGCCCAUGGGUCUCGAUUGUGAUUCGGUCCAACCAAUCUCACGUCAUUUCGAACAUGACUCGGCCCAACCCGACCUCUCGCUAUUCCGAAUGCGAUUCAAUCUAACCCAACUUUCUGCCACAAGGCAAGAUACUGGUUCCUUUAAGCUGACAAUAUUAUUUUGUUCUCUCUUCAAAAGAAAAAGAAAGAUACGGUCAGUGAGGAUGCUUAGGUGGGGAGUGUACUUGGAAGGAAUCUUUUCUUGUGCAAGAAAAGGGAGGAGGAAGGAGAAGGGCGAGAUACGUGAAAGCUAUUAUGUGGGUUUGGCCUAGCUUUUAAAAAUCGCUUUUGGACUGAAAAAUAAUUUUCGGCCCAAUAGAGCGUUUGGCAACUCAUUUUUAAAAUCUGAUUCGGCUUAUUAGAAUCAGAAAACUGAUUUUGAAGGCCCCAGAAUCAGAAGCAAAAAAAAAACAGCUUCUUGAAAUAUGAUUCUGAUUUUGGAUUUAAACUUCAAAUUUUUAUUUUUAUUUUAAUUUCAAUAUUUAAAUUUAAAUUUAAUUUUAAUUUCUUACUCUUUCUCAGACUUCAUCCUUCUAAAUCUUUCCAAAUUUUACCCUUAAACUUUUCGCAAUUUUGAAAAAAUAGAUCCCUUCACACCACUCCCUCUCACAUUCUCCACAAUCCUUCUAAAAAUUCAAAUUCUCAAAUCUCAACCAUUCCUUCACAAACUUUUACAAAAUUUAACAUUUUAAUUUUAAAAUCCUUUAAAAUUUCCAUCUUCCAAUUUCACAUUUCACACAUUUCUCAAAUUUUAAAUUUUCUCAAUUUAACAUUUACAACUUUUAAAAAUUCUGGUAAUUUUACCUAUCUCACCCAUUUCAAAUUAAUUAAUUUUUAAUUUUUAAUUUUUAAUUUUUAUUUCUAACUCUUUAAUUCCUUCACAAAUUAAAUUUUGAAAUUAAAAAUUUAAUAUUUUUCUCUCACCAAUAUUUACUCUCUUACUCUCCUUUACACAUUCUCAAUCAACCUUACCUCCCCCUCUAUCUCUCUCUUACCACCAUUUAAAUUUCUCACAAACCUCCUCUUCCAACCAAUUUAAUCUCUCAACCUUCUUACAAUUACUCACAUCAUUUUAAAGUCUUAAAUCUUAAACUUCUCAAAUUUAAAGUUUGAAAUUAUAAAUCUUAAAUUAUAUAUUUUUAUAUAUUCACACAUCUCUCUCACUCACUCUCUCAAAAUUCAUGAAUCUACCCCUACUCACUUUUAAAUUCUAACUAUUUCUCAUCUUUUAAUUUUAAAUUUCCUAUUACUCUCUAAUUUUAAAUUUUUAAAAUUUUAAAUUAUUUUUGAAAUUAGAAUAUCAAAUUUUAAAUUUUGUAUAAUUUUGAAAAUUAAAAAUUUUAAUUUUCAUUCAAAUUUAAAUUUAGAUUUUAAAUUAUUUUAAAAUAAAAUUUAAUAAAAAUAUUAAUUUAUACAAACAUCAAAAAAAAAUUCCCAAAUAACUUUUCAAAAUCACUUCAGAAAAAUCACUUUUAUCUAAACCAUACCAAACGCUCUACAGCUUUUAAUCAAAAUCACUUUUCCAAACCAAAAUCUCUUUUUCAUAAAUCACUUUUUUAGAAGAUAGGCCAAACAGGCCCUAUCUCAGCUGGCUCGGACAACCAAACUUCACCUGCGAUCGGUCGCGCCACUACAACAGAAUUAGAUUAUACGGAUAUAUUUUUAAGACACUUUUAUAUAAGUGUCCCAUUAUGUCAAAUAAAAAAAAAAAAAAUCUGUUAAGACUUAAAUAUAAAGUCCAAUCCAAUCAAAAAUAAAAAGUUCUUCUAUUCAACCAACCACACCCAGCCCACUCAGCCCGAUUACAAUAAAAAAGAAAAAAAAAAAUUGAUCACCAUCUCCCCUUCUUGUCCUCCGCCGUAGCAGCCAACUAGGUAGGAUUCCGGCGGUUGGAGUUCGGCCACAAGAAUCUCGUAGAAACCGAGAAGGCUACGAUCGCAAUAUAUCCCUUCGCCACAAAUCACUGAAAGAGUAGGUGCCCAAUAUCAAAGUGGCCUUAUCUACAGCGAUCCCACAUAUAGCAACACUCUUAAGUGUCGAUAAUUUAGCCAAAAGUAUUCAAUAUUGGCUCGACCGUUUCUCACAUCCAAAAUAAAAGCUUACGGGAAAAAAAAAAUAAAGAAUUUAAUACAAAAAAAAGUGAAUUUAAAAGCACUACAACAAAGGGUUGCACUAAACUAAAAAAAAAAAAUUACUUUACAUAAAAGUAAAAAAUGGUCUUUUUAUUUUUUUUGACUGGACUGGAAUGAUAUUGCAAUACAGAAAUGUUGAGGGACUAAUUUAAGUUACUAUAUAUACAUAUCAAAAUAGUACAGGAACUGUGCAUAGAUGAUGCAUUUAAUUUGUCCUAGAUUUAAGUUAUUAGGUAGCUUAGUAUUAGAAAUUAAAUUAAACAUUUGCCUCGAUAUGGAUACGGAUCCCCGAAGAAGAAUAAAAUCCACAUCUGAUAUUUUUCAGGUACGCUUUUUGAUCGGAUCAUGUAUCAGAUUCAGGUCUGAGGUGACUACAACUGUCAUUAGGAACUAAUAUCUUGGCUUUGAUUAUUAUUAUUACUAUUAUUAUUAUUAUUAUUAUUUAAUAGAGUGAAAUCUCAUUGUUGAAAUUGUUUUCUUUCUAUAUUUUUAUAGAGAAAGAAAGGUAGCAAGCUGUGUACUUCGUUUUAGUUUCUUAAAAUAAAACUAAAUUCAGCUAAAAAUAUAAAAUAAAUUAAGUUUUGAAUUUAGAACCUCAUAUACUAAUGAUUAAAUUAUUAAUCAACUGCAUUGCCAUACUCAUUAUUGAUAAAAUUAUUAGUUGUUGGCAUGUAAAGGUGGGUACAAAAUGUUUGUAACUUCGUACCAAAAUUGAGUAGUUUGGGGCCCAAAUUAAAGGGAACUCAAGGAGUCCUUUCAUGAUGACCAUUACAAUAGGGAUUGAAUGGCCCUUCACUUUUUCACUAAUAAAAUUAAAAGUAAGAUAAAUGGUAAAAGGCAAACUACUAAAAAAAAAAAAGACAAAAAAAAAAGAAAAUUACCUUUCUUUUAUCUUUAAAAAAAAAACACCCUACAAAAAUAUUACAGUUUUGCAUAAAGGACGCAUGGGAACAAAAAAUCUUAGCAUAAGCGGUAAAAAACUUACUGAUUGACAACUGAGGUCUAAAGUUCGAAAUUUAAUUGCAUUACAUUUCUAGAAAAAUUUAUUUCUAAAAAAAAAUAAAUAAAUUGGCAGUACAUUUAGUAGAUCCAGAUGUAAAUUUUAAAUCAAAUGAAAAGAAAAUUAAAGAUCUAGAAGUUUAACUUUUUGCUUUCGAACUUGUUAAAAUAGCUAGCUGACCACUCUAGAAACUUAAACCGCUAGAUAAUAAUAAUUUAAUAUUUUAUAUUCAACAUAUACGUAUUUUUGCAGUCGUUGCUAUUAAUAAAGUAGAUAAAAUGAAAUCUUUUUAGUAUUUGUGCGGUAAACUUGAUUAUAUUCAGUAUAUUUCUUCUAAUAAUAAUAAUAAUAAUAAUAAUUUCUGUCACUUCCCGAUCCGGAAGCUUAGUGGGACACGCCACGUACUUGCGACAAACACAAAGAUAAUUAAUUUGCAACCCUUGUAGGCAUCGGGACACAGCAAUCUAGAAUAAUAGCACAUGAUAAAAAAUUUGUAUAGAAAGUGCCCAAUGAAAAUAACAUAAUACAUGAGUUUCCAUAUCCAACAAAUAAAAUCACAAUUCCAAUUAGAAUAUUAUAAAUCCAUGCACCUACAACUUAUUUGUGGGAACUCUACAAUUCUAUUUUAAUUUGACCAUCCAGCUAAAAGGCUAACUAGUCAGUCUCAUGGCCUCACGUUGUAUCACGCCUAUUCCCACUAGAUGUACCUGAAAAAUAUGGUACAUAAUAGAAUAAAAUAGUAUAAUAAACUUUUCAAUAGGUACAACGAGCUGGCGGAGACAAGCUAUUAAUUACUAUCAAUCUAACCAGAAAGAGUACAACAGAAACAGAAAUAGAAACAGUAAUAUAAAUAAACGAUCAGAAAAAUGAGCAUUCCAGUAAGAAUAACUAAUGCUAUAACUGUUAUCCGGCGAAUAGUCAGUGAAUGAAGUGAAAGGUACAAUUGGAGAUCUAGUUUAUGCAUCAAACUUAAUAUACGAAGUCUCAAAUUUAUCUUUGAUCCAACCAGCAGGGUAUGUUCUUUUCGAUUCGGUGCCAUAGAAUCUAAUCGCAACUGUCUAAGCUCAAUGUGAAUCACUGCCUAGCAGGUCGAGUCGCAACCACUCUUUAGAAAGAGCCCACCCCACCACAAGAUUGCAAUCUUAUACGACAGUAGUAAAUAAAUAGCAUAGAACACAGUGACAAGUCGCCAUGCUUAUGAUCAAGGCUCCAACACAAUAACAAAAACACUAGUCCACAACUACAAGUUGUCGACAAAAAUAAUAUCCAAGAGCCAAACCAAAUUGUAUAACCAAAACUAAGUGUUUGUAUAGAGAUAUCAUGAUAGGAAUAAUCCUCAACGAAACAUGCUUACUACUCAUGCAUAUAUAACGAAAUAAUAAUUUAGAUAUAUUAUAACAAGAACAGAUGCAGUUAUAAAAUUAAACAAAUUAUAUCAAUACCACAUCUCAAUAUAAAGAUUGAAAAACUGACAGGAAGGAUUAUCCCAACUUAAAGACCAAAAUCAUAAAUAAAGAAGGAUAAAAGUCAAGUUAAGUAGUAAAAACUCUAACCACACAAGUCCAAAAAGGAAUUCACUUACUUCAAGUCAUUUCCAAACCAAAAGUAAGCAAGUAUUUCCAUUAAAUAUCUACUAAACCAUUUUUUAAUAUAAUAUUUAUAAUGGUUUAUACUUACAUUUGAUGUUAAAUUUAUUAAUUGUUAGAUGAGAAAUGGUGAAUCUUAUUUAUAUUUAAUACUUCGUUUUUAAUAUAAUACGAUUAAUCCCNAAUUGAUAAGGAUGCAUGAGGUUAGAGUUACACGUGGCAUCCUUAUCCACUACUAGUCUACCAACUCAAAUAAAAACAAAAUUAAGGAUACUACACCCUUAUUCUCAGAUCAACAAUACGAGAUUAUUAUUUUUUCUAUUAAUUUUUGAACAAUACUACUGUUACAUCUAAAAAAAUAUAUAUUAAUCUUAAAUUCUCUCAUUCAUGAGUUCAUAUUGUGCCCUUAUAUAUUUUGUCAAAAAAUUAUACUAAAAAUCUAUAAAAAAAAUUCUAAAUGUAGGAUAAAGGAGCGUAAAAAUUUUAAUUUCUUUUUGGGUCUAAAGUAAAAGUAGUAUUUAUUUUUUUAAAAAAAAGGACGAAGGGAACAAGGGUGAGAAAUAUAUAAUAGGAAAAAUAGACCGUAUUAUUGUUAUUUUGCAAGAUAGUCCUUUCUACUUUAUAAAAUUACAAACUAUUAACUUUGGACCAUAUAUUAAUCAUAUGGUUUUCUACUGGUUUGUUUGAUCCUAAAUUCGAACUUUGAAUUAAUUUAAAACUCUCUAUUACUAUAGAAAUUUUUAAUUUAAUUUUUGAUUAUCUAACUGUAGCGAUCAAAUUUUUUCCUUCUAUUUUCUUUUAUUACAAAUUUUUCGGAUAAAAAUUCUUCAUCUGAAUUAAUUUUAUCCGUAAAUAUCGUCUUAUUUAACAUUUAAUAUAAUUUGAUUAUUUCCCUCUCCUCUCAUUAACAUAUUUAAUUUGAUUAUGAUUUAGAGUGCACUCCCAUCAAUUCAAACCCUUUAUCACGAUGGGUCAUCACCAAUUCUUAAAACUAUGUUAAAAGGCUCGAAGCAAUCCAAAAUUUUAAUAUUCUUAUACAUACAUAUCCAAUAUAUUUUGGAAUAAUUGCAUAUGAUUUCUUGCAGAAAUAUCAUAUAGAAAGUAAAUUUUUACAAAAGUUGAGUGAUCAAAUUUGUGACUCCAAAAAUCUUUUUGUUUGCAAAUAUAUCUUUCUGUUAAAAAAAAUAUUGAUAACGAUGAGUAAAAAAAUAUAAUAAUAAUAACUACGGUUAGACAAAGAGUAAAAUGACUUAUUUACCUGAGUAGAACUACUAUGCUAAGCAUAGAGAAUCCGGUGCUUCCGAUUUUUUGGCACUUAGAUCAACUCCUUUGAUCAUUUCUAACAUUUGGAUUAAUACUAUUACUCUGUGGGGACCACUCAACCCUAAGGGUACUAUUCAACUCUGGAGGAAACCGCUAUCGAUCAUUCCAACCGCAUAAUUUUUGAUCCAACGGUCAAAAAGUUGGAAGCAUCAGAUUCUCUAUACUUUCCAUAAUAUAGUAGCUCUACACUAUUUACCUCUUAUAUAUAUAUAUAUAUAAUUUGUACAAUAUUGAGUUCUACCACCUUUCCCUCCUCUUCUCUUUGCCUAUGUCAGUAGCGAGGCCUAUAGUGCUGAAGGCAUGGCGAGGGCUUGGCGCAACGAAGAUGAGAUAUAUCGCACGGUUGGUUGUGAAGGUAAGGGAAGAGAGAAAGAAAAAUAGCUUCUUUCAGGACAAGUUUGUCAGAGCAAAAUUAUAAUUUCACGUAUCCACCGUCAGAAAAUUAAUUGUGGAUUAAACUAUAGGAACAAAUAUAAACGUAUCAAAACUUUUCGAUGGAUAUAUUUGCAAAUAAUAAAAUUUUCGAAAAGAUAAAUUUGAUUAUUUAAAUAUUAUAAAAUUUUACCUGCUAUUCGAGACCUUUGCAAGGAGCUUAAACCAGCAUCUUUAUCACUCACAAGUGAAGAAAUUUAGAACAAAAAUAAAAAUUAUUCUAUAUAUUAUUUUCUAUUUGAAUAUAUUUUUUUGGAUUGUUAUCAACUAAAUAAGUUUGCUGGUGCUAAUAGCUUUCAAUUGCGAUGGUAUUCUAGAAGAACUAUAAUGGCUCGAAUUCGAACUCAUAAAAAAUGACGUGACGGAAAGAUUUUUAUGGAGUGUUAGGACGUCUAUGAAUAAGACUCCAAUAUAAAUAAAUAAAUAAGAUUUUUUCUUUACCUUUUUCCCAAAAUAUGAAUUUCCUAAAAAAAAAAUUCAUUUUUUCUUUUUAUCCUGAACACAAAAAAAAAAAAAAAGGCAAAACCUACCUAACAUGGAGGUGCUGAGAUGUCAUAUCUAAAAUACCCAGGGGCAAAACGGUCAAAUUAACGACCAGGCCAUUCACACUGCUACAAAGCUAGUAAGUGGCGGGUUUACUUUUUCACUUCACACUUUAUUACAGGACGGAGCCUACCUCAUCCAAGUGAAUUUCCAAUUUUGCCCCUCUUCUCACCUAUAAGAACCUAACUCCCUCCCCUCAUCUCUCUCCAAGAAACUGCUCCAUAAAAGUACAGAUUUUGGGAGCAAAUUCACUCCCAAUGGCUUCUUCUACCGAGAUUUUCGGCGCACUUCGGUAUCAAAAAUCUCCACGUUUUCAUUCUCCGAACUCUCUGCACCUCCGCAGCCGCGCGAACUACCUCUAUUUUCCCCCUGCUUCGCUUCCUUUGAAGCAGGGGAGGGGGUACGGCCCGCGAAAAUCGCGAAAGGUCGCGACUUCCGCGACGGCAACCGAGGAUAAGGCGGUGAGGGUGGAGACGGAGAAGCCCGCGAAGCUGAGAAUAAGCGCGACAGUGACAGUGAGGAGGAAGAAGAAGGAGGAUAUCGUAGAAAUGAUCACGAACCAAAUCGACACGUGCGCAGAUAAGAUGGGCCGCAGUGUUGUCUUAGAACUCGUUAGCACCGAAAUCGAUCCAAGUACGCUUAUGAUUUCUACGGGCUUUGAAAAAAAAAUUUGAUUCAAGUUUUGAUCUUUAUUAUACCACUGUUCAUGCUUAGAAUCGUACAAGGUACAGGUUUUCAUUGUAACGGCUCCAGCUAUUUGUUGACUUUUUCUGCACCUUUGACUUAGUUUUGAUGCAUGCAUGUAGCGCUAUCUCAUUGAGCAUUUAAUUUAAUAACAAUAUUGUUCUCCAACACGGUGUGCAUAGUCGUAACAUAUCACACGGAUCAUACUGAUUCAGCUAAAAUAUAAAUUUAUAAUAAAUAGUUUGUAGAGAUUUAUUUUUAAAUAAAAUUUUAGUUAUAAUUAGCUCUUCUUUUUGUGUAUUUAAGUUACUAAGGGUCCGAAAACAAGCAAACAGGCCGAGCUGGUGGACAAGUCCGAGAAGAAGGACGUAAAGGCCCGACAAGUCGUGUACAUCGCUGAGUUCACAGUCGAGUCCGACUUCGGCGAGCCGGGUGCGAUCACGGUCCUCAAUCGGCACCACAGGGAGUUCUUUCUGGAGAGUGUUGUGGCCGACGGCUUCGAUAGCGGGCCGGUCCACUUCACUUGCCAAUCGUGGGUCCAGCCCGCCAGAAUCCAGCCCAAGAAGAGGGUGUUCUUUACUAACAAGGUCAACUCUUGCUCCUUCCUAGAUGCACUAAAAAGCUGUCUGGUGCACGCGGCUGCAACUGCACUAUAGUUUUAACUAUGUUCAUAUUUAAAUUCAGUAUUUGAUUUGAUAUAAUUGAAUUCAACUAUUGCAUUAAAAUUAUGAGUUGUAAAUUGGCCGCAAUUCUAACUGCAGUCGUUGAAAAAAUAAUAAUAGUAACUAAUCGUAUCUACUUAAUCAUCUUUUACAAUUCUAAAUCUUUGCAGCACUUUCUACUAAUUCAUCCAACUAAAUGAAAUAUAUAUAGCCGUAACUAUUAUGUUUUUAAUUGCAUGCAUUUUCAAGUGUACUAUACUCAAAAUUGCAUUCAAGCAAAUGCCCCUAACUUCAAUUGCAAGUAACUUUGGAUUGGCCCUUACAAAAGAAAACUACUCAACCAGUCAAUUUAAUUACUUUCUCCAAAAUUUUAGGCUUCUAUACCUACACUCUCCACAUUGCUUUUUUCGUAGUUCGUUCAUAGAGCUCAGAAAGGUUAAACAUGUUAACAAACAGAUCACCAAAAAUAAUACACCAUAAGAGCCAAAAUAUUUUUUAAAACACUAUCUUCUAGUUGUACGGAUGUAUCAAGUUAUGUAUUUUGAGGCUAAAAAAUUCUAAAUAUCGAACUAAUGAAUCUUUCGGCCUUUUGUUAUGUGAAAAACAGCCUUAUUUGCCGUCAGAGACACCCCCUGGGUUAAGAGAGUUGAGAGAGCAGGAGCUAAAAGAGUUGAGAGGAGAUGGGACGGGAGAACGAAAGCUCACAGAUCGGAUUUACGACUACGCCACUUAUAACGACUUGGGUAACCCGGACAAGGGGACGGAGUAUGCUCGUCGAGUGCUCGGAGGAGAUCGAGUUCCUUAUCCGCGGCGAUUGAGAACUGGGAGGCCCCCGACUAUUUCAGGUAAACUAAUGGCUUAAGAUUUAUAAGUUAUAGCUAAGCGAAUAAGAUCUUGUUUGGCUCCGCUUCUUCUGCUUUAGCCAUUCAUAAUUCUAAGUCCAAAUUAGCUGUUUGGUUAGAUUCUUAUAAGUGUCCACAGGUUGGGCAAUCAUAAUAUAGCACCGGAUUUUAUGUUAUUUACUACGUACCGUACUAUUGUGUGGUCCAUUUUAGUACCACACAGUUGGAUCUGAUAGGUUCUAAGUUUUUAAGGACACUGAAGGUUUCAUUUCAUCUCGUUCAUCGCUCAACAAAUAGCAAAAGUGGUUAUUUGUAACAUGAAUUUAAGAUCGAAUUGGAAAUUGUCAUUCGAAUAAAAUUAGAGGCAAAUAGCUAGAUUAAGUUUACAAAUUCCCAGCAUAUUUUAGAUGUGUGAAGAGUAUAUCAUCAUGAACACGUUUUAAGAAAUGAUUUAUUGAGCAACUAUCACAAUUUUGUGUGGGAACUAGUUGAACGCACACAACAUCAAUAUCUUAACACAACUUUUGCGAGAUGUCCUCAGCAUCCACUAUUAUGUUGAGAAUUAGAUGGUGGAGACAAUUUAGAACAAUUUAACUAGAGAGCAAGCGCAGUCCGAAAGCGUUUUUCCACUCCAAAACCCUUUUUUUGUCGAGUGAUCACAAACGCAUGGCAGUGGAGCUAGGUAGGAAGGGUUUUUUUUUUUAAGAAAAAUAUAGUACACUAUCCACUUUAUUCAAUAGAAAAAUAAAUUUUGCAUCGAGAUGGAGACAGUUGAGACAUCACAAAACAAAAGGGAAAAGAGCACGCAAAAAAAAAAAAGGGUACACAAAAAGGAUCAAGAGAAAAAAAAUUAAAGUGUCGAAUGUCUGCCAAAAUUCUAACGCGAGUUUUUAAUUACUUCUGUUUUUAAAAAUAAUAUUAUUUCUUUCCAACCAGAUAGAUAACUCUCCAAGUUGCCAAAUGUCUAGUGAAAUCGUCAAUCAUCUUAUGUACAUCACAGUAUAUAUCAUGUGCUUUGGCCCUCCCAUGCACCAUGCUAACACCUUGGGCCCAGCAUUCAUCCCAACAACCACUCUCUCAAACUCAUGUAGCUUAUUUUGUCCGGAACUUAAAUUAGAUUCACUCCAUAACUAACAACCAGGCAUUUGCAUUUGCAUUUGCAUUUGCUGCCUCUUGCAAGCAAAGCGCAGGACCCAACAAUCAAAUCAUCUACAGGAGAGUCUAAAUAGAUAGGAGUUUUUGUGAGGAAUUUUUAAGGAAAAUAUAGGCAGAUUCAGAAGCAUGUACAACUGAUAAAUAAGAAAGAAGAUAAGAAUUUAACUGUGGUGGAUUUGAAAUAGUUCUAGGAUUAAACCUCUUAAUUCGACUAUAGCAUUAAUUUUGAACGGUGGUUAAGCUUAAAAAGUUAGAAAAGUUAAACGUAUUAGGAUUAGAAUAAUUUUAGAAUGAAUGAUUCUUGUGAGAAAUGAGAUAUCUCAGUCUCGUGGACCUAGAAAUACAUGACCCUAGGAUUACAUGUUUAUUAGUACUGCUACGUACAGAUCUCCUAUAAUGUAGGCCGCGUAUAUAUUGUUAAUAUAUAUAUAUAUAUAGAGAGAGAGAGAGAGGAAAAGUAGGACUACGAUACUUUUAUGAGUAUAUAGCUCUUUCUACUUAUAAGUUGUUUUCGAUGAUAGAACUUCCGAAUCAAUGGUUCACUUCAUUAAAUAUGAUCUAGAAUAUUUGAAACUUUUAAAAAAUAAAUUUUAUAAUUUUUUAAAAUUAUAAUAUAGUUCAUAAAGUGGGCAUAAAAUAAAUGGUCAAAGUCAAACGAUGUCUUAAAAAUGGAUGAUUGGAUUCUUUAAUUUAAAAUCCGAGUUAAUUAUUAAUCUUUAUCUAGAUAGUGAAUAGAAUUUUCUAUCAAAAUUUCAACCGAUUUUAAUUUUUUUUAUACCGUUAAACUAACAAGUAUCUCAUACCGGUCGUUAAAAAUUAUCAAUUUUGAAAUCUUUUGCUCGUAAGGUAAACGAUGUCAAAAAAUUAUAAAAUUUGAUUUCUAGAAGUUUUAAAUGCUCUAGAUAACAGUAUGGAUUGUCGAUACGGAAACUCUAUCAUUGAAAAUGACCUAUGAGUUCGAAAGCAAUAUCAUACUCAUAAAAAUAUAGUAGAGGGCACAUCAUCGAGUUUCCCACCGUUAGAUUUAACCCUUUGAUUAUUUUUAUCCGUUAAAUUAUACUAUUCAACCAUUAAUUCACUCAAUCUUAGAGGGCACAUCAUCGUAACUGUACAUUUUUUCAUCCAAUGACCUAUAACCUAAUAGUACCAAUUGCUCGACACUAUUGAUAGUAUUCCGGUCUAAUUUAUAUAUAUAUAAAAGAAUUUGAUUGAGCACAUCCAGCCACUCAUAAAUGCGACGUUACGGGGGGAACCCACGGCGAUGGUAGGGUCGUCUGCUCGGAAGGGAAGAUGCAUUCAACGUCCGGCAAAAGACAGCUCAACAUCGCGUCAAUUAUGCAACAAAAAAUUAUGGAUCCUGUGCGUCCUGACACCAACAAGUGACGGUCGGAUUUAAUUGUGCGGGCCCCACGUAAACACAAACGGUACUGUGCAUGGAGAUCAGGGAUUUAAUUGAAUUGUACUGUAAACGAAACCGCGGCCGCAGAUUCGCACGGUGGGUUCGCGUACCUGAAAGAGACUUGACGGCGAAAGUCGACGUGUCCGCAUCUGGGUCGUUAAGAUUUUUUGUGGUGUUCUUUUGAUUGAUUUUUUAAAAAAAAUUUUUGGGUGCCAAAGUGUUUUUUUUUUUUAACUUAUUAGCAUGCAGAAAUUUUAUUUACAAAUGCAGUACUAUUUUAAGGAUCCGAUGCAUUUUUAAAAAAAAAAAUUUUAAAAGGGUGGUGAUGAGCUAGUAAUACCGAAAUCUUUAUCACUAUCGUGUUUUAAGUUUGAUAUAUAUAUAUUUGUAUACUAUAUAUAAUUGAACUUUUAUAUUUUUAAAAAUAUCAAGUUAUUAAUACUUUUAAGUUUUCUGCUCUUUUUUUUUUAGAGAUAGGUAGCAUGCACGCUAUCCGCUUCGUUUAUUUUAUUUAGAAAUAAACUUAGCUAGAAAUGUGAAUCAACUAGGAUUCAAACUUGGGACCUCGGGUACCAACCACCAAGCCCUUUGUUAUUUGCUCUAGAGACGAUCAGUAAGUUUUCUGCUCUUAAAUUAACAGAUGUACGAUUAGAAUGAUAGUGGUUUUAUAAGGUUGAGUGGAUAGUUGUUUGAAUAGUAUGAUCUAACAGAUAGAAAUGGUCAAAGGGAUAGAUCUAACGGCGGAAAACUCAAUAGCACAAAUCGCUCGGUGUUAUCGAUAGUAUAGUAGCACAAAUCGCUCGGUGUUAUCGAUAGUAUUAGAGACAUUUUUUUGGUUUUUUUUUUUCACUUUUUAUGUUGGAGAAUUUAUUUCUUGGACUUCAUUUAAAUGGAUAAUAAGCAAUUUUUUGUAUACAAAUUUAUUUGAUGAUUGAAACAAAAAUAUUAAUAAUUGCCAUGCAAAAGAGCUUAUUAUCACGAUCUUAACGUUUUUGUUCGCAAAGACCGUGCAGCGCCCGCCUUCCUAUUUGAAAAUGGGCAAGUCUAACUCCUUAUUAGGGCUGGCAAACGAGCGAGCCGGCUCGCGUUCGACUCGUGUUCGGCUCGAUAUUCGACUCGAAAUUAAAUGAGCCGAGCUUCAACAAAAUAAAAGGCUCGAAAUUCAUUUCAAGCCGAGCUUGAGUAUUACUCGGCUCGUUCGAAUUAGGCUCGAAAAGCUCGAAAACCUCGAAUAUAUAUAUAUAUAUAUAUAUAAUGUAUUUUAAUUAUAUAUAGGCUUUAAUUUAAUUUGGGUCAUUAUUGUUGGCCCAUAAAAUAAACCCAACAAGUACAACCGUACAAUUGAGCCCAACACUAAAUUUACAUAACAUACUCUUUCUUUCAGACUUUCACUGCUGCACAUAACCCUAAAAUAUGAUAACAUUCAUAUUCCCAAAUCCCUAAUUUUUUUUCCCCUCUCUCUCUCUCUCUCUCUCUCUCUCUCUCUCUCACAGACCCUCACCCAGUCAGGCAGUCACCCUAUCUCACAUUUCUUGCAAUUAUUUUGUAUUUUGAACUAUUGGAUAUGUUGCAUCAAAUUGUAGGUAAUGUUAUAUAAAAAUUAAACUAUUGAUUAUAUAUUGUCGAGAAUUUCAAUCGGCUCGUUUAGAGCUCGAGCUCGGCUCGACUCGAAAUUAGGCUCGCUCGAGCUCCGCUCGAAUUAAUUUCAAGCCGAGUUUGAGCCUAGAUUUAGGCUCGAAAUUAAUUUCAAGCCGAAUUUGAGCUGACAUAAGCUCGCUCGAGCUCGGCUCGUUUCCACCCCUACUCCUUAUUGCUAGUCUGGACCUUCGCACCCUACGACUAAGAAUGCAAAAAGAAGAGAAAAGAGAAGGACAGAGAUUUUCGAAAAAUUAAAUACUUCACUAUUUAGAAAAAUAGGACUACAAUGCAAAACUCCUCUUGUAUCUCAAUCUUCUACUUCUACUUUGGCCUUAGCCAACCCUUAUACUUAUAAGCUCCUAAAUACAUUGAAUUUAGUAUACACUAACUCACCAUUAAGCACACAUUAAAACACACAUUAACUCACCUACUAUCACAUAGUAAUGAGCUGCCCAUGUCUCUUGGGUUUUCGCCGGCGGUUGUGGAGGCAUUAAUUGCAGCAAUUACAUAACCCUUCUUCUCAAAUAAAAGACCGCUGAUUUUGGGCAUUCUUAACAACCCGUUCCACUAGCAAAGAUAGGCCAGGAACUUGGCCGCAUUGAAAAAUCGUUGAAUCCCUGAUAUUAUGCUACAUUUUGACUGGUUUGGUUCUCAAAUAACAUGGUAGGAAAAGCGCAAGUGCAGUAUUUUUUAAAAUUUAGGCCUAAAGUGGGUAAUAGUAAUGAAAAAUGUAUGAACCAAGUCACAAAAUAUCUCGAUAAUUAAAAAGCCGUUAAAGUUUCUGAUUAUAUGGAUAUUUCGAGUAACAUAGUAUUAGAAUCAAUUCUAAAUUUCUAUCGUUCUAUAUUUAAUCUCUACCUUCAGCAGCUAAUUUUUAUUUAUAAAAAAAUCAAUCUUUUGAGUAGCAUGACCUGCUCUGAAAUUAUUUACAUUUCUUUUUUUUUUCUUUUCUCUAGACAUUCAUACAGAGAGUAGGGUGGAGGAACCCCAGCCGAUGUACGUACCGCGACGAGGCAUUCGAGGAGGAGAAGCAGGAGAUGUUCCGUGCGGGCGAGCGCAGGGCGAAGCUCCACGGCCUGCUGCCGUCGAUCGUCGCAUCCCUACGCUCGUUGGAAACCGGCGACGACGACUUUCGGGGAUUUCAUGAGGUGGACAGCCUCUUCAAAGAAGGGCUAGGUUCAAACCGGAGCUUGUUUGAUCACAUUCUCCACAAAGUUCCUUUCGUUAAAGAGAUUCAGGAGUUCGCCGAGGGAAUGCUCCGUUUUGACACUCCCCACAUCAUAGCAAGUAAGUUGAAAGAAAAAAUAUGGUUGAUGCAUGUUUUAUAAUGCCACAUACUUAAAUUUUUUUUUUUCUCACAAGUGCCUGUUUGAUCGAACUUCUUGGUUAGUUCUUUUACACUCGAAACGUAAUUGUUGAUGCGAUAAAAAGUUUUCUGCAUUUCGGGUUCAACACGAAAAAGAACUAAAAUUUAAAAGUUCUGGACUAAAAUUUGUAAGCAACUUUACUCGAACAGCAAUUCUUUAUAAGCUCCAGGAGUGAAAAUAGGUCGUCAUAGGUGUAAAAGCGAAGGAUUUCAAAAUAAUAUGUGAAAAGUUAAAUGCAAAUACACAAAUUUUAUAUAUGUAUUAUAGCCCAAUUUGAAAUGAGAAUGCGAGUUCUAAAUAUUUUGCUUUUACUAUCUAGGAAUAGUCAGUAACUUUUUUUUCUAAAAUAAGACCAUUGAAUUUCUAAAAUCUAGAAAAAACACAAGUUUGAUAGUACAAUUAAAUGUUUUGUAAUUUAGAAUUCAUAUUUCAAAAUAAGUUAUAGAUUGCACGUUUGGCCCUUAAAUUGAGGCAUGCAACACUUUGAUCUUUAAAUUAACUUUAAUUUAUUGUAAUUUUUAACUCGAACUUUCAGGAUUGUUGCGAUCAAGUCCAACAAUCCAAUUUCGUUAACUAAAUAUUGACUCACCGCUUAUGUAAAAUUGAUGAAACAUCCUAAUUCUUCGCUUAUUACUGAUCACGAAACUGCUGUAUUAUUUUCACAUUAACAAUUCAUUAAUAUUUAGUCUACUGAAUUAAGUUAUAAAUUUUAAUUUGCAAUAAUUCUAGAGUUCUAAUAAAAAAUUAUUAUAGUAAAUUAAAGUUUAACGAACAAACUUGGCAUCUCCAUGAUUGUUUGAGGACAAUAUGUGCAAUUUAUCCCAAAAAAGAAAAAGAAAAAGAAAAGUUACUGUAGUGGUUACUGUGGUACUAUGGAGUGUCUACUUGUGUCCAAGUUUCAACAUUUUAAUGGAUAAAAAUAAAAACUACAUCAUCAUGAGCUUUUCGGGUGAAUCAUUAUAAUGCAAUUUAGUAGGUGGUGACUAAUUGGUACGCUUUAUCAUUUUGUGUAGGAACAAUAAUAUCUAGGUUCAUAAUUUUAAAUAGAUCUAGUUAUUAAAGAUAACUAUUGAAUUCAACAAUAAAACUUAGUAAAAAUAAUUUUAUAGAUAAAAAAAAAAAAAAAUACUUCAAAUAUCGUACUUGUGAUUUUGUACUUUCUCACUUAGUACCUUAUGAUUUAAAGUGUAUCACUUUCGUACCUGUAGUUUUAUCUUUCUCUUUUUGUUAUUCCUUUUACUAAUUUUUUUUGUUAAAUUAGUGACAAAUUUAAAAUUAAAGAAUAUUAAAGUGAAUANUGGUUUUAUUUUUUUCUUUUUGUCACCCCUUUGUUAACUUUUCGUUAAAUCAUAUAUAAAAAAAUUUCAGAUAACUUUUUGUUAAAUCGAAUACCUGUAGUUUUAUCUUUCUCUUUUUGUUAUUCCUUUUACUAAUUUUUUUUGUUAAAUUAGUGACAAAUUUAAAAUUAAAGAAUAUUAAAGUGAAUAUUAAAUAAACUACUGGUAUUCGAUUUAACAAAAAGUUAUCUGAAAUUUUUUUAUAUAUGAUUUAACGAAAAGUUAACAAAGGGGUGACAAAAAGAAAAAAAUAAAACCACAGAGUACUAAAUUGAUAUACUUUAAACUACAGAGUACUAAAGUGAAAAUGUGCGAAAUCACAAGGGUGGAAAUUAAAGUUUACCCUAGAUAAAAUUACUUACAGGUGCUGCAAUACAAUUCUAUAAUUUUAAUAAAAUUGCUGCUGGCUAAAUUAUUAAGUUUGAUAGUAUUAGUAAAAUAGAAAAUCUCUAUAUCUAAAACUUUUAAUCUAUUUUUUGAGUUGCAAAUUAUGGAGAUGUUUAACUGCUUAAUAAUGUGAUACGACUACUCAUUUAGAUGGUCCAAAGCUCUAACCAAUUAGAUGGUCCAUAGCCUAUAUAUGUUUUACAAAUUUCAAAAGUAUUCUUUGUGGUCCAUUAGUACGAAGGAUAAGAUUACGCCAAUUCUUCGAUAGGUGUUCUUUUUGGACCAAUAAUUUUCUCGCACCAUAUUGGCGUACUUUGGAAUAAGUUUUGGCUCACUAUACUUCGAUUGUUUUAGUGGUGUUAGUCCUCAAUUAAUGUGAAAAUAUUUUAUCGAUUAUUCAUGCAACAUUGAAAUUCAGUGGUUUACAUGAUUAACCGCAUAUGGAACAAUUUCACAUUCAGAAGAUCUUUUCUCAAAAAGAAGCGGAGUUUGGAAUCUUUUAGCCAAUUUAGAUUUGAUCGUAUCGUAAGAUAUUUUUGAAUACAUUGGUGUGAGUUCCUUAAAAUGUUGUAUUUAUAUUUUGAUUACAGUUAUUUAUGAUGGGAAGAAUUUUAAUUAAUUCAUGCGCACAUUUUAAAAAUAUUAUAUUAGCCAAUUCAUUUUUAAUUUGGAAGGAGCCUUUGAUAGUUAUUAAUCGUCACCAAUUAUCACUCACGUAAGUCGUCGAAAAUUACUGUAGCCUAGGUUGUACAUGAUCCGGGAAUUGGCACGUGGCAACAGCUCAUAAGAUUACUACACCCAAUCAAUGCAUGCCAUGUCAUUAUCCAGGAUUUUCUGGGACCCACCCAUUUUAACAAAUUUUAUUUAGAUUUCUUUUAGUGUUCAUUUUAACUUUUAAAAGUUAGCAUUAAUCACCCGAGCAAGCACUUCAUUGAAAAAAAUAUAUAUUUGGAUUCAUAUUAAUGUUAUAAUAAAGAUGAGAUAAUUAUCUGUAAAUACGUUAUCGCAGAUGACAAGUUUGCAUGGAUGCGCGACGAUGAGUUCGCACGCCAAACACUCGCCGGCAUUAACCCUGUCAGUAUAGAGCGGCUCCGGGUAACUCUCCACGACUUCCAAGAGCAUAAUUUUCGUCAUUUGAAAAAAAAAUUUACCCAAAAUAUCUUCAGAUGUUACGAGUGUGCUUAACAAACUUUAGGGAUAUGAUCUAUUAAAUAUAAAAACAUAUAAAUAUUAUUCUCAAACAACUUAAACUUUGAGGGACCGUUUGGUUAGAUGUAGUUAUAAAUACAGUGUAGUUAGAGAUACAUGCAGUUAGAAAUACAACAGCUAUAACUACAUGAAUCUUAUUUAGUUGGAUGUAACAGAAAGCGCUGCAAGUAUAAAUAAUUUGUUUAGUUGCAUGCAGUUGAGAAAUAAUUUUUAAAAUUUUAUUAUUUUAUAUAUAUGAUGGUGAGAUUACCUCCAAUGUAAAAAAUAAUAAUAAUAAUUUUUGUUUAAAAAAUAUUGAGGAGGUAAGUAUAUCUUUUAUUUAAAAUUACUCUCUCCAUCUGCUGUAGUUGGAACUGUGGGCCAAUUUGGGCGUAGUUCGAACUGCUACAGUUGGGCCUCCUCCUGCAAUUCCUCCUGCAACAGUAGGAGUUAAAUAUAUCAAAUCAAACACGAAAUUUGUAUUUACAUACAGUUACAACUAUAGUGCAGUUACAACUACAUGCAACCAAACGGUCCCUUAGAGCACAACGGUUGAUUAACAUAGUAUCAAACAUGAGGAAAGUGUUAAAUAUAAAAAUAUAUAAAUAUUGUUAUCUAACAAUUUAACCUUUUAGUCUAGAGUGGUAACUUAAAGUACAGCGAUUGUUUCACAUGAUCGCCUUUUCAGGUGUUCCCACCUGUUAGCAAACUUGAUCCGGCUACCUAUGGGCCUCCUGAAUCUGCCAUCAGAGAAGAACACAUCAUCGGCCAUUUAGAGGGCAUGUCAAUUCAAAAGGUGAUUAUUCUAUUUAUUGAAAAUUUUAAUUUUUAUUAUCUAAUUUUUAUUUCUAUAUAUGUUUUUUUUUUUUCGUAUAUUCAUUUUCUUUUAAUACCGUGGCAGGCGUUGGAGGAGAACAAAUUAUACAUUUUGGAUUACCACGACACCUACCUUCCUUUCAUCGACCAAAUCAACGCGCAAGACGGCCGAAAGGCCUACGCAACUCGCACGCUAUUCUACCUGACGGAUCUCGGGACCCUGAAGCCGAUAGCGAUCGAGCUCAGCCUCCCUCCGAUGACCAAGAACUGCCCUCGCGCGAAGCGCGUCCUCACGCCGCCCGCCGACGCCACCACCAGCUGGUUGUGGCAGCUGGCCAAGGCCCAUGUUUGCGCCAACGACGCGGGCGUCCACCAACUCAUCAAUCAUUGGUAAAUGAAAUAUAAUAGGACAUACUCUUUCUGAUGUCAUGUCACUUUAAAGAUCAAGUACGAUGGAUGGAACCGUCACAGAUUUGAAAUCUUUUUUUUUUUUUUCUUUCUUUUUUUAUUUAUGAUCGAAUGUUUGUAACCGAGUUUGAAAUAUUUGGGGUACAUAGGUUGAGGACGCACGCGUGCGUGGAGCCGUUCAUAAUAGCUGCGCAUCGGCAGUUAAGCGCGAUGCACCAGCUGCUGAAGCCUCACAUGAGGUACACCCUGCAGAUCAACGCCCUCGCGCGCCAGACCCUCGUCAACGCCGGCGGAGUCGUCGAGUCCGGCUUCACCCCCGGAAAGUUCUGCAUGGAGAUGAGCGCCGCCGCGUACCGGGAUCACUGGCGCUUCGACCAGGAGGGCCUCCCCGCCGAUCUUAUCAGAAGGUAUUGUUAUUGUUGUUAUGGUUAUUGGUCUUGUUGUUGUUAAUAUUAUUAUUUAUUAUUAGCUAACUAAAGUUAUGUUUUAGAUUAAUAAAUUUGACUCGAAAUUUUAAUUUUAAAUUUUAAACUUCAAAUUUUUAAAAUAACUUAAAUUAUGUAAAAUUUUUUAUAAAUAUUUAUUUUUUUGACUUUUCCUUUCUAACUGUCAAAAAUUUAUAUUUUUCUCUCUCAAUAUUUUCUGUUGUUGCAUUUAGUCCCCUUCCCCGUCGCGGUUCUAUCAACUAUUUCAUCAAUUUCUUAUAAUUUAUACCGAAAGUACCCUUCAAAAUAAUAAAAAUAAAUUAUUUUUUUUCUUAUAAAAGAAGUGUGGAUAAUUUGGUUAUUUUGCGCUUUCUACUGACGUCGUACCCUCUGAAAAUUUUUCUUAAAUUUCAAUGAGCCAAAAUAUAGAAUUUUAAAAGUCAGAAAGAAAAGUGAGAAAACGAAUAUUUACAUGGAGAUUUAAUCUCCAGUAAUUUAGCCUUUUGUUGUUUUUGAUAACAUUAAAAAAGAAAAAAGCAGCUAAAGAUUUUUUGAAAAAGGAAUUAAUGUAUGUUAACAAGUGUAGGGGGAUGGCGGUGGAGGACCCGCGGGAGGCGAGCGGGGUGCGGCUGGUGAUCGAGGACUAUCCGUACGCGGCGGACGGGCUGCUGCUGUGGUCGGCGAUGGAGCGGUGGGUGCGCACCUACGUCGCCGCCUACUACCCCACCCCGCACCGCCUGCGCGCCGACGCCGAGCUGCAGCGCUGGUACGCCGAGGCCCUGCGCUCCGGCCACCCCGACAAGCGCCACGCCCCCGGCUGGCCCCCGCUCGCCGCGGUGGCGGACACGCUCUCGACCAACUCUGGCCACGAGGAGUACCUCAUCGAGGAGCUCCGCGGGGACUGGACCGGGGACGCAGAGAUGGCGCGUGCGGAGUUGGGGUUCACGGCGGAGGUGCGACGCGCGGGGGAGGAGAUCGCACGGUGGAACGCCGACCCGGCGCGGCGCAACCGGUGCGGGGCCGGGGUGCCGCCCUACGAGCUCAUGGCGCCCACCUCCGGCCCCGGGGUCACCUACCGCGGCGUCCCUAAUAGCAUCGCCAUUUAUUUUUAAUUUUAAUUUUAAUUUUAAUUAUUAUUACUUUACUUUUAUAAAUUUCUUUCUUUUUUUUUUCCUUGAUACUGUUGCAAAUAGAAAAUGAGAGAUGGCAAUCGCUUCUCUUCGUAAGAGAUCCCCACAUGGCUCAGCAACGCGGCUGUGCUCCUUACCCCCGCCCGCCUGGAUCUUCGGUUCAACUCCCUCUCUGGCCCCAUUCCCUUCACCUUCUCUGUUGCAGACCUCAGAUUUCGAUUGCAACGGCAAUAAUGUUUUGUCAUCGCUUCUAUCUCCAUCAGACUCAUGCAAAAAAUGAGUGGCAGGUGUGUAGCAUCAUACGUUCAUUUUUAUGUUAUUCUCCUGCAAUUCUUAUACAAAAUCCNUUAUGAGAAGUAUGCUUUCCAAAUCACGAAGAUUUUCGAGCUUUUAAUCUGUUUUUGAUUAUAGGCCAUCUGAUUCAGCUAUUUGUGUAAAGAAACUAAUAGCCUCAUAAUAAAUCGUUGAAAAUAAAAAUCUCAUAAAAAAUAAUAAUAGUGAACUUAAACUUCAAAUCGGAGACUAUUGAUCUUGCCCUCGAUGUUAAAUAAAAAUUUCUAUUAAAAUUUUUAGGACCUUAGAUCAAUUUGUAAAUAACGGCGAAAAAUUUAAAUAAUUUGGUUUCUAAGUAAUUUUAAUAGUAUAAAGCGUGUCUAACGGAAUAUCUAGCCGAAUCGGAUGUUUUAUCAUCGAGCAUAAUUUGAAAAUAUGAAAGCCUUCGCACUUUGAAAAGUAUACAAGCUGAACUCGAUUAUAUGGUGUAUGAAUCAUUCAAAAUGUAGCCUUAAAAUGCAUCAGAAGAGAAACAGCGGACGCUUUUGAGCUCCACAACUGCUAAAUAGUUCGCCUCAAAAUUCGUACAAAAAGCUCCAAAAACGUUUCACAAACUGAUGAGUUUGAAUGAUUAAAUUUAUUCAGUAACAUUGUGAUCCGUAGACAACCGUCGAUAAAAUACGUUGCCUAAAUAAGUUUGUUGAGAGUCUGAAACAUUUGUGAGUGCAGCAGUACUUAUUUUUCAUCAUAGAUCUUCGCACAAGUCGCUCGGUAAAUUGGACGAUACGACAUUUUCUGGAACAAUUCCACAAUAUAAUGAAGCAUGAAUGCAUGGUGUUUUGGAAACUGGUUGCAGAAUAGGGUAGUACAAAAUAAACUACUAGAGGAUACAUAUGGAAAAAUUCUAAUUAGUACAAUGUAGUGCUAUAAUACAGUUGCAUAAAUGCAACUCAAAAAUAAGAACAAAAUUUAUAUCUGAGAAACAACAUCUUUCAUCAUCUCAUGCCCUGCUACGUUCCAAUGUUGCUCACCAUCUAUCCUUUACAACGGCAAAUAUACAAUUUCUCUUGUCAUAUAUCAAUUGAAAAAUAAAAAUAAAAAUAAAAAUAAAAAUAAAAAUAAAACAAAUAAAGCAAAGAUGCAAACGAAUACAAAUUAGAAGGUCGGUCGUAUGAGAUAAAUGUGUCCCGCCUGCACGAGCUCCCCCCUAAAAAUUCGCCAAAGUCAUUCACCAGAGUAAAAUUUAGCAAACACGGCUCAACGUCGAGUCAGUCUUUCAGUGUUCAUUUUUCAAAAUUGAAAUUCAACUUCCGUUCGAGACGGAUAAAGUAUAAAUGCAAGGGGGGGAAAAAACAAGGAGAGACUUGUGUUCUGCAGCGCUUCACUUCUUCAUUGUUAAAGACCCACAUACUUUCAGUCUCUGCAUAGAAAAGAGAGAUUGUAACACGGAAGAUCUUUGAUGAUUCGAAAUAAGAGUCUGAUAAACAUUUCAAACAUCGGAAGGAAAGGAUAAAUAUACCCACACCUCUUGAACUUCCAUGCUUUUAUAGGCAGACCUCUAAUUCAAAAUUUUCGAAACCUGCGACCUCAAAUUCAUGUACUAGUAUAAUCUACACUUUCACCCAAAACAAAAUUAGUUUCCAAACGGUUUCUCGCAGUGCGUCUAACAUGUGUAUCUCAGUGACCAAGGAUUAAACCCCAUUUUGAGCAAAGCGCUAACAAAGUCCUAAUUUGUUCUGUUACUGCAUGAUGAAAGGUGUUUCAUUAUUCAUAUUUAAACACAUGAAAGACAAGCAGCAAGAAAGCUCUUAGAAACUAACAUUGUUCAAUUGCACCAUUUCAUGAAAUUUAAGAGGCUGAUAUAAAAAAUUAAUGAGUUUAGGGAAUAUGCCAGUAAAAACUUAGUUAAAUGGGAUUAUCCAUAGACAUUAAAAGGAAAAUUUAGAUUAAAGUGAUUUUUGAACUACGGAGAUUACCAAAUUGCUUCACAACUUUAAGUUGAUCCUCUCAGACCAUUUAAAUAUAUCCGAAUAAACUUGAUCACCACCUAGGUCCUCUCCGGUGGCUCCUGCUGCCACUCGAAUGAUAUCCUCAAUCAAAGCAAAGUUGCCCAUUAUGUCGACAUGGGCGCCACUCUGUGUCCCCCGGCCCUCCAAGAGAUUAGCAGGGGGUGCAUGAUCAUACUCCCUAAUAUAUGUUUUGAUGCCAGAAGGAUUGAAGCGGGUUCUUCCCCGCCACGCUUUUGCACACAUGAAGCCUGAACUUAGAACAGGCACAGUCUCAUCCCCAUUGACCAAGUAAACACCGCCUUGUAAACAGCUGCCGUCGUGUCCACCCUCCGCUGAGGUAUCAAUCUGAAAGGGAAUGGAGCACUCGGUAGAUGGGGAUAACUUAUAGACAUAUGAUCUCUCAGUAAGGAUGCCAACUCCAUACAUUGAGAAUAUCUCCAUAUCAGGGGCAUUUGGUAACCUUGUGAGGAAAAUGGGGAAAAAAAAAAAAGUGAGAAAAGAAACUUCAAAUUUGUAAGCGUUUUCUCAGCAUGCAUUCUAUGUUCACAAGCAGAGAGAACUCGUAGAAUAUGACAAAACAAUCUGCUCAUUAAGUCUAAAAAAUUCAGAUAUAAAGGACAGAUAUUGCACUCUAUUGUAAGACCUAUUGAAAGACCACAGAGCAUGCCAGUUUGCAACUAUUUAGUCAGAUGUAACCUUACAUUCCAUAUGCUAUAAUACCUAGACAAGUUAGCAUGUUGAUCUACACUAAAUGCCAUGUAACUUAAAAUGGAGUCCGGCUACUAUACUCUUAUGAGUACAAUCGCCCUCGUACUCAUAAGUUGUUUUCGAUGAUAGAGAUUCCGAAUCGACGAUCCACACCGUUAAACGUUAUUUAGAGCAUUUAAAACAUCUAGAAAUCAAAUUUUAUAAAUUUUCGACAUCAUUUACCUUAUGAUCAAAAGGUCACAAAAUUGAUAAUUUUUAACGGCCGAUAUGAGAUAUUUGCUAGUUUAACGGUGUAAAAGAAUCGAAAUCGGUUGAAUUUUUUAUAGAAAAUUCUAUUCACUACAUAGAUUAAGAUCAAUAACUCCGAUCUUAAAUUGAAGGAUCCGAUCAUUCAUUUUUAAGAUAUCGUUCGAUUUUGACCGUUCAUUUUAUACCUGCUUGAUGAACUUUAUUAUGAUUUCGAAAAAUUAACAAAUUUAUUUUCUAGAAGUUUCAAAUACUCUAGAUCAUAUUUAACGGAGUGGAUCGUCGAUUUGGAAGCUCCAGUAUUGAAAACAACUUAUGAGUAUGAAGGGCUCUAUACUCAUAAGAGUAUAGUAGCUCUAGCCCUCAAAAUGAAUGCGUUGGCAAAAUAGCUGCUGAAAAGGAUAACAUAGAGAUUUUCCGCUCAACAAGCCGAUAGGGAUUUUGCAGUUGACAAGCUGACUUAUCUUACAGACUGACCUUUUUCUCAAUGAACACCUAGGAACCAGGGCAAAUGCAUGAGCACUAGUUAGGCAUCCAUUAGAAGGUUUCCAACAAGGACAGUCUUCGGAUGUUGAAAAUCAAGACCGCCAUAGCCUGCAGUCUUGAGGUUUAUUACAACCAAUUUGAACCCCCAGAUCCUAAAACAAUUCAAAAAUAACCUAAAAAGCCAAGCAAUUUUCCCUUUUCUCCACUAUUUCCUUUUCCUAAAAUUUGAUAGCCUAGGAAAAUCAUAAAUCAUACCAUUUUUUAAUUAAUAAUGUAGUAAGUUCUAUAUUAGAUAACAAUAGUAUCAGAAUCCAUGCAAAGUAUCAGAAUCAAGUUUUAUUCAAGAGGCAAAAGAAACUCCACAAAAGAAAUUAUGUUGCGAAAAUUCAAACUAGAUUAGUCGGGAGUAUAAGUAUAAACUCUCACUUUGUUUCUAGGGGAUUUGACCAAUAUUUGUAGUGGUUAUACUUUGGGUCAUCCAGAUUAUCAGCAAUACCAUAUGAGAAGUGAGCACUUCCACGCUGCAUCAUCUUCGGGGCAACAAAAUGAAGAAGAUCCAGAAUGGAAUCAGUUGUAUACACUUUGUAAUCAGCUACCGCUUUAAUUCCGCCCCAUCCCAAUUCAUGGUGCUCUGUCCAGACAUCUCGGCAUGAUGCAUUUGAAUGAGCAAGAUUGUUACCUUUGACAGCAUCCUGAAUGAGAGGGGGGGGAAAAAAGAUUAGACAGAAUAGUAUGGUAUUUGAAAAAUUAAUAUAGCACAUUUAAAGAUAUCAAGUAUCUAUUUGAAAAAUUAAUAUAGCACAUUUAAAGAUAUCAAGUAUCAAAUCAAUGCCAAUUUCUAAAAAGAUAUCUAUUCUAUUCAACAAAUGUCUGCGAGUAUACUUUCAGAACAACCAUCAUGUCCAAAUAAAGGUAUCCCAAGCCUCUCGGAUCAGUUCUUUUAUAUGGUAUGGACAAACAGUAGUUCUUAAGGCAUGAAAGACAAUUAUAACAUGUGAAUAUUCAUAUUAUAAACAAACGAACAAUCUUGCCAGGAUCUCACCAAGUGUACCAAAAAUCAACUUAAAAGACAAGCAUCCCGCAGAAAGAGUUAGAAAUUUAUCACCAGUCCAAUAUAAAUCAGAUAUGGUAGCUAACAUCAAUAAAACUAAAAAUUCAAAGUGGUUAUCAAUAGAGUUGAUUAUGUGGAUUAAGCUAGCAGCAUUCCUAGAAAAAAUCAAUAUGUCAACUCAGACUGACUUAUCAGCAUCAAACUCGGAAGAUUGACACUUCUUUUCAUAGACUUCAGAGCUAUUUCAAUGUGAUACAUCAAGUGACUUCAAAACAUGGUGUAAUAAAACCUAACAAAGCUUUUAACCUUAUGUCCAGAAGUAUCAAAAUCUGUUAUGUUUUUUAAAUUAGGCUUAAAAAUAUUAUCAUAAUAAAUUAUCUAGAUUCUCGAUAAGAAUGUCCAGCUAUAUAAUCAUGUAACUCCUAACUAGCAACAUCUAUUUUUUGCUCAUUUGAUACAAAGCUGAGAGACCUUGAGAGGAUACACAUCCAAACCCACUAUAUCCUACAAUAUCAUAUUAUACAGCAUGGCAUAUAAUGACAAAAUUUAGUCUGAGCAGCUAGAAAAGAGAACGAGGGUAGAAAAACUAAUGUACAAUAAGUCUUCAUAUUGCAAUUUUCUUUGAAAUAAAUAAAGUUAAUACUUACCCGAAAAUCAAUGCGCUCUAUCGUAGAGGCAGGUGCCUCUGCUACAUCCUUCCCGAAAGAAAUAAUUCUUCCAUAGUUAACUUUUUGCGAGUGAAAAUCUGCCUUAUCAGUGUCAACAUCCUUAGAAACACGAGAGUCAUUAUUCUUUUGCUUCUUGGAGCUACAGACAUAGCCCUCUUCUGGAGACCAAUCUAGUCCACCCCAUAUAGUAUCACCGCCUUUAGGAAUCAUUGACAUAGUAGAGUCCCAUGUACGAGUCAUACGCAUGACAUGUCGCAAUGUCUGAAGACCAAGAAAGUCUGAAUCUAACACCCCAGGUGCAAUAGCCCUAUACAUGGAGAGAAAAUGAUGAUACUUUCUUCUUUUCCACCAAACUAACAUACCAAACUUUUACUGGAAAGAGCAACAAACAAUUAGAAGAAAGACUCGUCACUAGACAAAUGACGUUACCCAAGUAGAUGAGAAGAAACAAAUAUGUUUUAACACCACUUAACUAAUUUAACGCCACUUAAACAAGCUUUACAACACACAUCUUACAGGGGGGAAACACGUAUAAUCUCUUGAAAAGAGGUGAGUACUCGUACUUUUUAAAUAAGAGAGAAUAAACAAAAUGUUGUACAUGCUAAGGUCCAAACUUGCUGUUCAUGUCAACCAUGGACAUUGGUACUUGACGUUGAGAAGAUUCAGUCAGAAGUAAGAAAAAUCCAACCAGACUAAUUGCUGACUGAGCAAAAGCAAGUACAAGGACUUGCCAUAUGAGCACAAAAUGUCAAAUGGCUGGAAGCGACAUGCAAACUAGGAGAACCUCUAUGAGGAUUCUCAUACAAGCCAAAGAACAGAGAUAUUGUUCUCAUUUAGGAGGCAACCUUCAUCGCUGUGACGACAAGCCAACAAGCUAAAAUAUAAUCUAGUGCAAAGAAUACAUCUUUCAAGUCCAAUAAAAUGAUGAAUUUAAGGCACCUUCAGAUACAAGUAACUAAUAGUAUGUUAACGAUAGAAACAUUUCAUUAGGAAAGGUUAAGCUGAAAGGAAAAAUUUGACGCUGUGUCCACAUUAACUUUCCUCAUGUUACUAGUUAUCCACCGGAAGUAGGAAAAAAGAAAAAUAGAACUGCUGAAGAUGCAGAAGUGACGCGACGUAGUAAUAUAUUGUCAAGGCAACGAUUAUAACUAGUAAUCUUGUUGUUCCAAAUAUUCAUAUAAGAUUUUGUUUUUAGCUGGAAAUAAAUAACUACAUAAGGCUAAUAUAGAAUGUCAUUUAGUAUAGCCAUCCCUAAGUGUACCAUUCACCACGUACCAGUACAUAUUAGUGCAGAAAUUGUAUAUUUUAAAGCUACAAUUUACAUAACAUUUACUAUAUGAUAUAUUUGAUCCUUCAAGACAGAAAAGAUAAACGUGAGCAGAAAGGAAAAAAAGAAAACUUGUGUUACCCUCUAGGAGAGCGUACCUAUAAUUAAAUGGACGAUACAUCAAGAACAUUCGAGAAAAAGGAUACUUUCUAUAUUCACUAAAACAAUCCACCUUCAGAAGAUUAUCAAUAAUAAAUCAGCAGCCAGAACAAUCUUCCUAUCUUCAGUAGUCGCAUUAGCAAAUAGACAAAUAGGCCAAAACCUUUUUUUUCUCCCUUUCUAUGCAAGGACCAAAGUAUUUACAUUUCCAUUUAGAGAAAUCGCCAAACAACUUAUUAAACAGAAUAGAAACGAACUUGAAUUCUUGCAGUUUUUCAUUGAAUCGCCUCUUUAUUGGGUAGUCUACAUUUGCUUCAUUCUGUUUUUUAUGCGGUACUAGGGGUGUAAAACGGGUCGGGUGGCCCAUGGGCCGGCCCGGCAGAUCUAGCUGGCCCGCAGGCAUACCGGGCACGGCCUGCAACCACAGGGUAGGAUUCAACCCGGUGCGGCCCAAACCAUUUAGGACCGGGCCUAAGGGCUGGCCCAGCCUGUUUAUUCUUUUUUUUACUUAUUUUUUCUAUUGUUUUUAGUUUUUUAAAUUUAUUCUUUCAAAUAUCAAUUUAAAAUAAUCAAGUAUUAAUUUAAAAUAAUCAAAUUUUAAAUAUUUAUUUAAUAAAAAAUAUAUAUUUUUUAUAAAAUUAAUAGUAAUUUUUUUAAAAUAAAAUUUAAAUAUAAAAAUUGUAAAAAGGGUCAGCCAGAGGGCCGGCACAGCCCGUGCAGUUCGAGCUGUUGACCGUGCUAGGCCACGGUCCAAUGCCCGACCCGGAUUUGAAUCCAAGCUGGGUGGGGCCACCUUGUGGCCCGGAUUGGCCCGAAAAAUUCUAGGCCUUGCCAGCCAGCACGGCCCAGAUUACACCCAUAUGCGAUACCCAAUGCUAUGUUAUGGUCACACUCAAUGCUACCUAUAAUUAACUUAUUUGAUACCAUCUAACUUAAUUCUGUAACCAAAUUCCUACUAUAUCUAGAUAACAGCAGUCAAAGCAGAAUAUUAGCCUUGAUGAAUAAUGCAUUAAACUGAAGAUAGAUUUCAAGAGAAUUGGUAUUCCUUAAUUAUAAGUGUCAAACAGAAGUAGAUAUUUAGCUAUAUGCUCAAUUAGUGAAAUUCCAAUGUUAAUCAAGAUAGCAAUGCUAGUAUAGAGAUAAUAAAGUGUUUUGAAGUAUCACACAUCAUAGACUAACAUUUAAGUUACAAAGCUAUGAUUUGUACCUUAGGUUACCGUUUGGUUCGAGAACAAGUUAUUUUUGUUUAUUCUUGGGAUAGGUAUAACUUCUGGGAUAGGUAGAAAUUAAUUCAAUUUUGUGUUUGGACGAGAAUCGAGAUAUUUAGAGGAAUAAGAAAAAUUAUGUUUGGUUGAUUGGGUUGGAAUAGUAGGGAUAAGAGUAAUUAUGAUUGAAAAUAAAAUUAAUUUAUCUAAAUAAUAAGCAUCUAGGUAUUAGUAAGAUAAUAUUUUAAUAAGUUAAUAAAUAAAUUAAUCAAAAUUACUUUAUAAAUUAAUUAAAAUUACUAUAUAAGAUGACAAAGAUGACAUUAAUUAGCAAAUAACUAUAAAAAAUAAGCCAAUAUGUUAAUAUUAAUUAAUUAUUUAAUCAUUUAUAUUUUUAGUUAAUAUAUUAAUUAUAUAAAUUAAAAUACUAAUUAUUUAAAUAAUAUAAAUAUUAGUAAAUAAUUGAAUAUAUGGCUAACUAUUUAAUUAGAUAAAUAAUAAUAAAUUAUAAAUAAAUUAUUAUUUAAAUAUUUAUUAAUCUAAUAAGUUAAAUAAUUAAUUAGUUAAUUACAAAAAAAAUUAAUUUCAUUAAUUAAUUAUAAUUUAUAAUUAUUUAUAACUUAAUUAGUAAAGGAAUAAGGUAGAGAAUAGCUUGUUCCACCCAAUAGGUGGAACUAUCUUCCCUCUUAACGGGUUAUUCCGGAAUAACCCAUUAAGAGGAGAAUAGUAGUUCUUGGCAAUUUUUAACACCGUUUGGAAGAAUAAGAGGAAUAAAUUCCUUAUUCUUCCUUUAUUCUUUGAACCAAACAUAGCUGUCAUUUGGUUGCAAGGAAAACAUUUUUGGAAAGUUUUUUCCUAAUUUCAAGGAAAAUUAGUGUUUUCGUUUUCCGAAUUAUUUUUUAGGAAAACGAAAAUACUAGUUUUCCAUAAAACUUCGAAAAAAACUUUCCAAAUAAGCUAGUUUCCCUUGGAACCAAACAGGCAAAAAACUGGAAAAAAGAUUUUUCAUAGAAAACUUUUUUCUUGAAAACCUUUUUCCAUACUUUUCGGAGGAACCAAACAGCCCCUAAUAGUUUCACGGAAACAUAAGGAUAUCAACUAGAGCAAAAGGAUAAGUACUUAGGAUCGCAUAUACCCAAGCAUUUUUACAAUUAUUACCUAGCAACAGCAACAUCUUUGGCUUCAGCCGAGAAAAGACCAGCAACAGCCUUUGGAACACCUAAGAAGGGGCCACCAAUAUUCAUUACAGCUUUGAUAUGUUUUGAACACCAGUUUGGACCGCCGCCGCCACCCGUAGGAGCAGGUGCUUCAACCCAUUUCAUAAAAUGCAAAAAGUACAAAACUCCCAUGGAAUGCGGGAUAACCACCACUUUAUUGCCACCAUUUGUUGAUACCAUGAGUUCUAUGUUACUCUUUAUUCUGCUUAGGGUCUGAUCACGGACCUGUUUGCAUUUGCUCGUGCAAGCACAUGACGUAUGUCAAAAACCUUGGGAAGGAAUUAAUAAACUGCUACAAAAGGAGAAUGCAUACAAAUGGAGAAUGCAAAACUGAGCAAGAAAAUACACUUAAAGGAGAAAAUUAGGUGGUGUUUGGGUGCAAGUAUUUGCAAUAACACUGCAAUUAUAAGUACAUGCAAAUCCACAACCACCAUUUGGUUUCAUGCAUUUGAAUCCAACUGCUGCAAUUGGAACUGCACAAAGAGGUUCAAAUGCAGCAUUUGAAACAAUGCCAAAAUUGGCCACAUUUCCAACUGCAACAGUUAGAGAGAGUGACAUUAAACAAAGUAAGCUUAUCUCCCUAAUAAUCUUCCAAACAUAAAAUGAUUUUUUUAUAUAUAGAAGGUAAUCUCACCAUACCAUAUAUAAAGUGAUAAAAUUUUGUAAAUGCAUUUGUCAACCAUACAUAACCAAACAAAAUAUUUAUAGUUGCUGCACUUUCUAUUGCAUCCAACCAAACAAGAUGUAUAAUUAUAAUAGUUGCAUUGUCAAGAGCAUGCAUUUUGAACUACACCGCACUGACAAUUACUUCCAACCAAACAACCCCUUAGAUGUGACUGAACGAAAUGAAAGGGUACCAAUCAGGUAUUUAGAAAGUUCAAGCUACCUCAGUGUUUUGAAAAGAUAAUCUCCAGUCAUAUGCAGCCAUAUACAUUGUCUUCUCUUCAUAUCCAAUGCGAGCCAAAUUAGCAAUCAGCACUGCCCAGACAAAGUAUCCUGGAGCAAAAUAAUCUGCCGCAACAAGCCCUGUAACAGGCCUAACUCUUAUACCUGGAGGAUCCAGCCCAGUUUCAUUGUCCAAAGACAUAUGUUCAACCCAGCAUAGAGGUCUGAGGAAGAUUCAUGAACAACAAACGUUAUAAUUGAUACCGAUAAGAUGUCUAGCAAGUUGAAUUAUGCAAAAGGUCGUCAGAGCAACAACUAAUGUUCCUUUUAGAUAUAGAACAGAUUCAGACAAAAGACUACCUAGACAAGACAUCUAAUAGUACAUGCAAUAGACCCGGGUACUUAAAAAUUGAAGAAAAUAGCAAUUUAGCUGGCAAAGAUUCAUCAGCAGGAAUGUAAUAAUUUACUCAACAAUGCCAUGAAAAGUCAAUUAAAUGAAUAAAUUGCUAUAUGUGAUGAUUGCUAUAUCAUUGUUCGGAUCUCCCUUCAACACCAUUAGCUUGUCACUAAAAUCUAGAUCAACACCCUCAAUCCUAGCCACUCAUUCCAAACAAAGGUCUAGAAAAAGAAAAGAGAAGACACUUCAUACCAUUUUCCUUGACUCUUGAAUAACGGAAGCAAGGCUUCGACAGCCCAUGUCGGUCUGCACAGGGUGAAACACACUGUGUCGAUAGGCCACUCUUAAAUAAAUCCAGAUAUAUCUGAUUAAUCCACCUUACUUUUUUUUUUGCUUCUUAUGUGAAAUGAGACAAAGUGCUUCUUAAAGCCUAAUUCUCAACUCUCCGUUGAAGAACAGCCUAAAAUAUACAGCACGCGACAGCAUGGAUGCAUGCUUCACCACGUGCCACAGCACGUACAUGCUGACAUAUGACCUACAUGCCUACAUAGCACUGCAUGGCAGACCUUGUGGAGAAAGAUAACAACUAAAUAAAUUUGUCUUCUUCUCUAACAACUGAACUUGAAUGGAAAUGAAACUCAACCUCAUAUAAGACAAAAUGAAAAAGAUAAAGGUUAUAUUGUAAUUUUUUUUUUUUUUACUGCCCCAAGUCAGAAGAACUAUUUUCUGGUUCAUGCAGUUACUGAAGAGAUAUACGUAAACGCUAGAUCCAGUCCCUAUUAACUUUAGUGAAGCAUCCAUUUACGUAUAACACAUGUCACUUUGUGCACUUUUGAUGAAGAAAAGUUUUGUUCAAGGGGGCACAAUAGAAAUUUUGAGAACAUUAAGCUUGCUCAUUACUAUUACUAGCAUUAGGAGAAUAAGUAAUCAAGCUAUAACAUUAAGAUACCAACAUUAAAAACAAAUAGACAAGAACAAAGCCCUAUCAAGUUUUGAACGACACGCAAUUCACAGAGUCACAUCCCAAAAGUAGCUAACUUUUUCACAAUUGGCUAAACUACCUGUUUUCUAAUUCUACUAUAACAAUCAAGUUACCACAAAAUCCCAAGCUAACAUAGCAAACUAUAAACACCACUUAUGAGGAAAUCUCCAGCAAAGUAAUUUCCAGAUUCGUGUAUACUUCCUCCUUCGUAGUUCUACAAAUUUCAGUCCCCACUCCCCGGAAAUCCCAAUCAUCACUAAUACAAACUCAAUCACAAAGGAAAUAGGGUUGAACAGAGAGGACAGAUAUAUACCUCUUGUAUACCUCUCCGAAGGUUCCGCCCCAAAGGCGCUUUCGGAAUAGGCCAUCGGCGCACUGGUGGCCCUCCCAGAGCUCGAGCCCCCCGGUGACGAUGCCGGGGACGAACACCACCGGGUGCUUCGCCUUGAGCCCCUCCUUUUGGAGCUUCACCCCGGGGGGGUCCGGUAACGGCCCGGUGAUCGCCUCGGUCACGUACUGCGGGAACGACGCGGGCAUGGCGUUGUAGAGGAAGAGGAGAAGCCACCACACGGAGCAGAUGCACCCGAUCAACCAACAGCAGCUAUCCACGCACGACCACCUCUGCCCCUUCGUCGCCUUCGCCCUCGCCCUCUCCUUCUCCUUCGAGGGCUCGGCGACCUCCGCCCUCGCCGGAGACUGCGGCGCCGCCGGCGGAGGCGGGGGUGCCUGCUUCUCGGCGGAGUCGGAGGGCUUCCUCCGCCGCAGCAUCGACAUCGCCGCCGCUCGGAAGGUGGGGGGCCGCGGCGGAACCCUAGCGCUCACCGAGUGUUUCGAAACCCUAACCCUAACCCUAGGGAGAAGGAGGAGGAGGGAGACGGGAAGAGGCCGCGCUGGUUUCGCGGAACUCCGGUUCCGUCGGGAGCUUGAGAGAGAGAGAGAGAGAGAGAGGGGGGGAGGGGAGGAAAAAAAAUAUAUCAGAGAAAGAGGGGGGGAAGUGAAAGUAUCGACGUGUCGUCGUCGUCGGACACGUGGCAGGAAUCUAGAGGCUUCUGAUCGGAAUCUGGUGGGGCCAGCUGUGAGCCGACGAUCAGGAUCAGCUGUAACGUGCCAACCAGCGCUCUCAUUCGAACGGCAGUGUUGACUACCGAACCAACGUGGGAAACCGUGGACCGGGUCUAUAGACCGGGUUCUCCAAAAACACAAAACUAAUGCGCAAAUAGUAAUGUUGGUCCCCAAACUACAAGCCGAGUGAUGCUUUCCUCCUUCAAUUUUAAUUUAUUAUAAUUUUUAGGUAAAAUUUUCUAGAUUGUUAUUAUGCAAUGCAAUUUAGUUACCUAAACAAUAAUACGUUAUUGAUGUGAUAAUGAUAUAGGAAUAUUAUAGUUUAUGAUAUGAAAAUAAUAAAAAUGUCACACUGCUGCUAUAUCAGUAAUGUAUCAUUAUUAUAACAAUAAAAUUGUAUGGUAUGAUUCAAUUACAACAAUAUAUAAGUUCGAAUCACAAACUAUAGCAAAUUAAAGUUCUAGAAUUAAAAUGUCAUGUGUUUUAUAGUUUAAGGACAAAAGGUGCAAUUUACCCAAAUAAUAACACCAAAUUAAGUAGCAACAAAUGGGAGAUGAUUUUAGCGGAUCUAAAAUUAUUAGUAAUGAGCACAUUUCCUUGGAUUUAAUCAAACUAAAUUGAUUGAUUUGACAAAACUGAUUUGCUUCUAACAAACUCAAAUAGGUAUACCCCACUUCAGGGCAUAUCAGUAGCAUUACUCUAUGGUUAUUUGGAUAAUAACACUUUUGGUCCUCAAAUUAUGAGACGCAUGAUAUUUGAUCCUCAAAUUUUAAUUUCUUAUAAUUUUUUACUCGAAUUUUUUGAAUUAUUUAGAUUAAGUUCCACAAUCCAAUUUAGAUUGGCCAAAUAUUAAUAAAUGGCUAAAUUACAGAAAACCCUCUGCUAAAAUCUGAUUUUUCACUUUUCCCUUCCUGUCAUUUAAAAAUCUAUACUUUGUUCUCUUAUAAAAUGAAAAAUGUUUACUUUACUCCCUACCAUUAGUGAUCCGUUAGAGUUCCGUUAUAAAAUAUUUUUUUAUAUCGAAAAUACUCUCCGCCCUCUCUACUGUUGCUUCGCCCUCCAACGCCUUGCCGCCUUGCCCUCACCUACAUCUCCGUCCGCGCCUAUAAUGUAGUGUUCUAGAGUUUUGGAUAGGAUUGGCUUCAGUGUUAGUGACUGGUCGACACAUCUGAAGAGUGUCGGACUGAGUCGGAGUCGUUUCUACGUGAAAUGGGUGCAAAAAUGGACUCAGCGCACUCAAAUAGGCAAAACUGAAGUUUUGCCAGUUUAGGGCGCCCAGAACUUGGUUUAGGGCGCCCAGAUCUUGAGUGCUGAUUUGAGCAAAAUUGGAAGCCAAUUCGGAUCCUAUUCUGGGCGCCCAGAAGUGGGUCCAGAAGUUUACUUUGGAAAUAUCGCUGGCGUUGACACGUGUUUGUGGUAGGUGAGGUCCGCCGGAUCAAGAUAAGGGUGCAGCACACCGUGGGCGGAGGAACUGAAGAGGGCUGUUUGUGCAGGCUGGAAGUUCUGGGCGCCCAGAACUUGAUUUAGGGCGCCCAGAACUUGCUUUUUCUGCAGCAGUGUAGGUUUGUAUCUAAUGUUCCUAAGGCUUAUAUGACCAUUUAAUAACCCUAUAAAUAGGUGGGAGACGCCCCUGGUAAGCUCUUUUCCUCUCUUUCUCACAGGGAAACUUACAAUUGCAUUCCAACCCCUCCAAAUCACUCAAAUUGCAUCAAAAGUCCACAACUUCAACUUGAGGAGUGCUGAUUCUGCAGUUUUCCAGCGACGACCUUCAGUGCUUUAGCUCGUGUGCGACGUAGGAAAGCCGGAUUGCGGUGAAACUUGGUUUGUUGGAUUCUAGACUUCAAGAGGAAUCCACGAAAUCCAAUAUUGCAGAUUUUGGUGAAGGUUAGCUUGGUCGAACUCAAAUUCUUCUCUACUGCUGUUGUUUUGGGCAGAUUUCUUUGAUGCUAUCUUUGGAGGCAGGGGGAUUUUGGAUCUGAGAUUAAUACUCCAUCAUUAUUCAUUGGAUUUGAAACUUGCCUCACUUGAAUUAGAGAUUAUUAGGUGAGUUUUGACAUUGGAGUUGAGACAAAUUAAGCUUAAGUGCUGAAAUUUGGUGAAUUGAUGGAUUUUGAUGGAUUUUGGGUGUAGAUCCUUCGAGUAGCUUUGUUGCUAGUUGUGGGUGAUCUCGGCUGAGGCUUCCAGCAAUUCGUGACCUUCUUGCUGCCAGAAAAUUGCACUAAAGGUGGGUGUUUCAUCGGUUUCGCUCCAUAAGUGCUUGUAGUCGACAUGUAUGAUUUCGGUUCUUGUAUAUCAUGUUGUAGCUCAAAUUCAUUGAUUGUAACAUGUAUGAAAUCUGAAUUGGGAGCAUGACUAUUAAUUAGAUGAAUAUACAUGUUGGAUUUGGAACUUGACUUAGGAGAAAACCAGCGAUUCGACCUGUCAUAUGAUUCUACUACCUGAUUUAGCUCUAGGAGCCGUGGUUUGAUUGUAUCACUGCUGUUUCAGCGCGGUGGAUAUCCGGGGUAGUUUAGAAUGUAUUUACGCUCGUGCUGGGAUGCCGAGCUUAUUUUUACAGCAGAGUCUAGGCUGUUUCAGAUUGUCGGGUGCCGUCGGGGUGGACGGUGGACCCAGAUUUCUGUUUUUGGUCUCAGAUUGUGCCGAGGGCACGUGGUUUGGUUUUUAGACCUGUUUUGACCCUAGCUACUUGACUUUGGCUUGUUAGAGCCUGAUUGAGCUCGACAGAGAUACGCUGCAUACUCGGUUGGUAGCUCCCACGAGUGCCACUCCGGAGAUGGGCGCUGUACUUUUGCGUUGGUAUCGUUCGUGCAGGUUGGACUUGCUCUCCACAGACUGGUUAGUGUGGAGGUAGCUGUAUAGUCGCAACCGGGCGGGACGGGUGUGUUCACAGUCCCAUGGACGGGUAGGAUUACAGUCCUUAUUUGAGAUUGGGUCUGAGUUGACACUGUUCUACAGAUGGUUAGAUUUAGAACAUGAUAGUAUAGUGGCAUAUAGCUGUAGAUUUGUUCCAACUUUCUUUACUAUUCCUGCUAUCCCUGUAGACUUAGUAGGUGGACUGAUGAGUUUGAGGGCGGUACCCACUAAGGACUACUUGUUUUUACAGUAGUUCUCACGCCCAGUUGUUACCACUGUUUUUGUAGAGCCGUCGCCUUCGGCUGCUGCUGUUGCUGAUCUUGAUCGUGGCAAGGGCAUCGCGAGUUAGAGCCCUUCCAGUCGAGUCACAGAGCUAGAGGAGCACCAGCUACAGAUAGUUGUAGUUUUUAGGUCUUUACAUAUAGUUGUUGUUUCUUGCUAGAGCGAGUAUUUGUAUACCUUGGAUGACAUGUAUGUAUUGAACCACAGUUUUUUUAUAUGGUUUAUUUUUCUAGCUGCUCUAUACUACUGUUUGUAGUAUUGUACAAUUACAGGUACUUCUACUUUUUCGCUUCGUAUACAAAAAAAAUAUCUAUGCAUACGGCAGGUCUGUUAGCGAGCCCGGGGGAACGGGUAAUCCGGGGCGUGACACAUAAACACCCUCUUUACCCUCCUCCGCCGCCUCGCCUUCACCCUCGUUACCUUUGCCCACCUCUCCAUCCACAUCCACAUCGAUUUCCUCCCUACUGUCGCCAAAAUAGAGAGGCGACGAGGGUACAGAAGAAGAAAAUGAGCAAAUGGAGAAGAAAAUAGAGAGGAACUUCGGCCGAUCGAGGCGGCGGAAAAGCAAGAUGAGAGAGAAGACGAAAAAGGUGAGGGGCAAAAUGAUCAUUUUGUCAUCACAGUUCACACCGUACCCCCUGUAAACAUUUUUCAUUUUAUAAGGAGCCAAGGUGUAGAUUUUUAAAUGACAAGAGGGGAAGUGAAAAAUCGAAUUUUGACAUAAGAGUUUUACGUAAUUUAGCCUUAAUAAAUUGUUGAUGUAAAAAUGAUAUAGCAUCUUAAUUAUUAUUGCAUUAUCAAUCACAACACUUCAUAUCACUUGUAUAUUAAUAAUUUGUCAAUAUUUAGCCAAUUAAAUAAGAUUAUAAAACUUAAUUGUAAUUGUUGUCGCAUUUUUAUUUUUAUUAUUAAAUGUGAAUUUUAAUUUUUAUAACCCUCGCAUGAAGAUGACAUAAUCUAUACUCUAACAUUUAUGGUUACAAAAUGCAUUCACUUAACUUGCAUUCAUUCGUACAACCAUGAGAUCUAACGUGUAUAUUUAGUGCUCCUGCCGUUCUCUUCCACUCCUAUAACUCUUCACCAUUUAACUCUUGUAACUUUCACAUUUAUUUAGAAAGUUAAUAUCAUAUAACUUCUAAUUCUAUGAGCCUACAUAUAUAGUGUGCAUUUCGUUCUUUGAAACGAUGAAAAAAACAAUAAGUUAUUUCUAUUCUUGUGAGAGAGAGAAGGCCAAAGAAACGUGUUUUUUUUUGUGGAAUUUUGGGCUCAUCUACUUGUGUAAAGUUGAUAUAUGAAACCACACAACGAGUGUCGAAUCAUUGUAUCCCGAAGGGAACAAGUCAGUGCUCUACUGCAUCGGUUCAAAGGCUUUGCCAAACGCAGAGAGUUUAAAUCUCCUUAAAGAGAGCGAGAUUUUCGUGUCUCAGUUUGAUCAACUCGUUUAUACUUUUUAUAUUAUUUUGUAGUUAAUUUUUAUUUUUUGAAUAUAUACACCAACAGUAAUAGUUUAAAACUAGUGUAGAGAUCCGCGCGAUGCGGCGGGUAGAUAAUAGAAAUAAAAUUUUAAAUUUUUUUUGAGAUAAAAAAUUGUAGUGAAAAUUAAAAUUUUAAAAUGUACAUGUGUCCAUGGUGGCGAGGGGCGGCGAGGCGACAUUUGACGCGGUCGAGAAGGAAGCGGGCGACGCCAACGUCGAGGUCGGAGGAGGAGGGCGGCGGCGGCGGAGGCGAAGAGGUAAAGGAAGAAGGCGAUGUUGCAUGCGGCGGUGGCAGACGCAAGAUGGGAGGUUUGAGAAAGAGAGCGGCGGGAAGUUGAGGGGACGCGGGAUGGGAGGAGAGAGAGAGAGGAUGAAAGCAAAAUUAUAGGAUCAAAAUAUUUAGGAGUUACUAUAUAUGUAACUUGAAAUAAUUUUAAAAAUGAAUGAGAUUUAAAAAAUAUAAAUAAUAGAAUUAAUGUUACAGUUACUCAAUAAGAUAUAGUUUUAGAAAGAAAGUUGGUGGGUCAUUAAAUAGUAACAAAUAAUAAAUUAAUUUGUAAAAUAUAAUGAGAAAAAAUAUGAAAAGGCUAUUCUUAGUCAGAAAUGACAACAACUAUAUAUGGAGCCUAUUUUGAAAAUGAGAGAUGGACCAUAUUUGGUAUAAUUUGACAAUUAAUUAUCAUAGUUUAUAAUAAUUGAUCAAGCAAUUAUGAGGAACCGUUUUCUAAUUUAGAAGGUUAAUUGCUAAUAGAAACAACUAGUAUGAAUUUGACAAUUAAUUAUCAUAGUUUAUAAUAAUUAAUCAAGUAAUUAUGAGGAACCGUUUUCUAAUUUAAAAAAUUAAUUGCUAAUAGAAACAGCUAGUAUGAAAUGUAGAUGGUUAUGUAGAAUUUGAAAUGCAAAUUAAAAAAAUUUUCUAAAAAAGGAAGUCAUGCCACCUCAGCUUUUGUUAUUAGGGAUCAAUAAAAAGUAAUAGAUAUUCGAAUUAGAAAUUACAAUAAAAGAAAAUUCAAAGAUCAAAAUGUCACACUCACGAUAAUUUGAGGACCAAAAAUGUAAUUUAUACUUUCUAUGUUUUUUUUAACUUUAGAUUAUCAUAUUGCCUUCUAUGUAACUCACGGUCUGAUGUGGUAUUAAUUGACAAGUUACUAAUUUUACAUUUAUAGAGAUGAAAUUUUCAAACCUAAAAACCUUUAAUAUUGAUAUGUACAAUUAAAUCUAUUAUUUGUAUGAUUUGUUAGGAAAAAUUCAUAAUUUAUCAACAUGUUAUUUGGGUAUUAAUAAGUCUAAAAAAAAUAUGGCAAGUUAAGAACUUUAUAAUCAACCACACAAGAAAAAGAUCAGGAAAAAAUUGAUGUUUACUUUCGAGUAAAUCUCCUAAGUGUGAUAAAUUAUAUUUAGAAAUUUAAAUGCGAAAAUAUGCUAGCUAGCAAUAGAUUUUUUAAUUUUUGUCAUUAUUGGUUAACUUAUAGUAUGUUUUUUUGAUUAGGUAAAGAUAACAAUUUCUUAUAAAGCAAUCAAACCAAAAAAAAAAAAGAAAAGAAGCUAGAGAGAUUACAACUUUCUCACCUGUUUGAGCUGCAAACAAAGAAUUUUAAAACAAAUGCGAACAAGCAUUCCAUUUUCCACUCUCACACUCUUGUUUUAAUUUAAUUCAACUAAACAAAAAAUAAUACUAAUUGAUUGCUUAUGCUUAAGGGUUUGUUUAGUUUCCAAAAAAUAUUUCAUAAAAUAGUUUUCUAACUGAAAUAAUAUUUUUCAUCCGUUUGCUUCUUAGAAAUGUAGUUUUUUUUUUUUUUGAAAAAAUCAGAUUUUAUAAAAAAAAAAACGAUUACUUUAAUUUUUAAAUUUUUUUAUACAGAAAAUAAAAACUGCAAAAAAAAAUAAGUUUGAUAAAAUAAAUUUCAAAAAAUUACUCUUUAUAUUUUUUUUGAAGAACAUGUACCCUCGAUCCACAAAACACGUACGUUCCAGGACGUUCGUAGGCACUAAUGAAGUGCCACGUCAUCUAAGCGGGCAAUUAAAAGCGGGUCUAGGGCGACGCAGCGAAUGAGAGCGUUUCUUCGCGGCACGGGCCCACCGCGGUGUAUGAGUAGUAUACGACUUAGUUUGGAAUUACAUAAAGAUUACGUUACGGGCUGUAAAAAAAUACAUUAGAAAAAUAUUCUAUUUAUUUCUGUAUAUAAUAUUACAUUCAGCAUAUCACGAUCAGUCAGUUACGAUAUAUACAUUAGCAUCUUUAUUCUCGUAUCCGUUUCGAAAAGCGUGCUAUGAAAGUGGGCCUGAUGUUGACUGUAUUUACGUGAAUUGCCACGGAAUGGAGGGUCGAGGUGACGUGUCGCCAGGGACAGGAACGCUGGAACGGCGCGUAACGGUUCGGGCGCGGACAAGUACGCGGUAACGGCGCGUAAUGGGUCGGGCGCGCCGCCGCUGAACGACACCGGGGAACGGGAAAAAGUGAACGGAAAUGUACGGCCAACGGGUUACGGUUGUUAAAGUGCAUCCACAACGUUCGACAAACACGGCAGUUUUGCUAUAAAUGACUAAUUGCAUAUUAAAUACAACAAUUUUGAAUACAACUUUUUGUAUUAUUCAAAAAAAAAUAAAUGUAUUUAUAUUUCAUACUGAAAAUUAUAUGUCAAAUAAUGUAUACCUAAUUAAGAGCAAGAAUUUAAGUAUCGUGAAACGAAAUCGUGUCAAAAAUUUACUGGCGCUGUAUAGUGUAGUGCGUGUCAGACGGUGCCGAUGUGUGCCGGUUAUAAAAAUACAUGUGUGCCGAUAUAUAAUUACAUACAAUGUUUAUUUUUUAAAAAAAUAAAAUAUUUUAAUUGCUUAUAAUAUAUAUUUGUUAAGUAGUUUGAAUUUUAUUAAAAAAACUACUUACUGUCACGCCCCGGAUGUCUCGUUCCCCGGGCACGCCGACAAAUCCGCCGUAUACAAAGAAAUUUUUCCUGUAUACUACAAAAAAAUUUUUCCUGUAUACGAAGCGACAGCUGUACCUGUAAACAUACAAUACUACAAACAAUAAUAUAGAGCUGCUCGAAUAAACAUAAGCUAAACGAACUGAGCUUCAUAUACAUAGUUCAAAAAUCAAAAUACAGAGUCACUCGCACUGGCGAGUUAAGUACUAUGUACAUAAGCUCGAAAUAAAACAACUACCUGCAGUAGGGUGCCUCUAGCUCUGCUCGGCGGGGAGGGCUCUAACUCACGACGCCCUUACCUCGAUCCUGAUCCGCGGAAGGCGCAGUAGCAGAAACCUGUGGCUCUGUAAAACAGGGGUAACAACUGGGCGUGAGAACUACUGUACAAACAAGUAGUACUCAGUGGGUACCGCCCAAAACAAAUAUCGGUCCACCCACUAAGUCUACAGAAAGGAGCAAGAAUAGUCGGAAAAGCAGGAAGUAAACUCUACCGCUAUCAAUCACUACACUAUCAUGCUAUACAUUAACCAACUGUAGGAAAUGUCAAAACUGACCCAAUCCAAUCGGGACUGUAAACCUACCCGUCCCUGGGACUGUGAAUACACCCGUCCCUGCCCAGUUACGACUAUCCAGCUACCUCCACACUAACUGGUCCGUGGAGAGCAAGUCCAACCGGUAUGAGCGACACCAACGCAAAAGUACAAAGCCCAUCUCCGGAGUGGCACUCGUGGGCGCUACCCAACCGAGUAUGCAGCGUAUCUCUGUCGAGCUCAAUCAGGCUCUGUCAAGCCAAAGUCCAAGUAACCGACUCUAACUGGUCUAACAACCAACAAGUAAUGUGCCCACGGCACCAUCUGACGCCAAAACGGCGAACCGAGCCCACCGUCAACCCCAAUAGCGCCCAAAAGUCCGAAACAGCCCAAACGACCCUGUAAAAAUCCACUCGGCGUACCAGCACGAGCGUAAAUGUAUGCUAAACUACCUGGAGUACUCGUCUCGAGGAUACUACGACAGUACAAUUUUAUAACGGCUCCUAGAGCUAAAUCAGGCAGUUUAAACAAGUGACAUGUCCAAAUCGCAGGUUUUCUCGUAAUUCAAAUUCUAAGUCCCACAUGUAUAACCUACUCAAUUUAUUACCACAUGCUCCAAAUUCAGAUUUGCAAUCUACCAUAUAAUCCAUGAAUUCGAGCUAGAAUAGAUUAUCCAAAAUCGAAAUCUAUAUAUGUCGACAAUUAUGAACUUAGGAGUAAAACCGAUGUAAACUCACCUCAAAGCUAAUUCCUGGCAGCACGGAACUCCCUUGGCUGCGGCACAACCUGCUGGAUCGACUAAAAAUGUCCGAGUCUCGAAAUCAAGCUAUCUCCAAGCUAUCAACAUCGAAAAUCCACAAUUCAGUCCAAAUACACAGCAGCAGAGAAGAGAAGGGUUUCGACCAAGCUAACCUUUACUAAAAUCCACAAGUAAGGGUUUCGUGGAUUCCUCUCGCAGUCCCGAAUCCAAUGAACCAAGUCUCGUCGCAAACCGAUGCUCCUACGUCGAGUACGAGCUGAAAUACUAACAGUCAACGAUGAAUUUCAGCAAACAACACUUAAGCUCGAAUUAAUGAUGCUUGGAGAAAUGAUGAAGCAAUUCGACGGAACAUUCACCUCGACAGUGACUAGCACCGGCGUGACGCCAAGAACAGCAAAGUCGCACCCUCGCCCGGCCUCCUCGCACUGCUCCGGCAACAAUCGUAUCCCCAAACGGCUCCGCGGCGCGACGUCGGCGACGAAUCCGAGCUUCUUCCUUGCCUUCAACCGGAUGAGAGUGAGAGAGAAAUGAAGAAAUGCAGCAAGAGAACUUCUCUCUCUCUACACGAAGCUAUAUAGAGAGAAGGUGUGUUGGUGAUACAAACGAGGGAGGGAAUUACCUAAAUAGCCCUCUACUUACCUCCUUGUACCGGUACACGGGCUCCUGUAUCGGUACAAGGGCCAACCCGAGAGCAGCUAAACCAGUGCACGCUGGUUGUACCGGUACAGCCACGCUGGUUGUACCGGUACAGCAAGCAAAGAAUUCUGCUGUUUUGCAGAAUUCUUCGCGAUAAGCUGCCCUCGCAUCGCACGGAGUCCGUUUUGCGUCUAUUUGACGCCAACGCAACUCGGACUUGUCCCGACACUCUCCAAAGCUGCCGACAAGCCGCCACAACAGAACACCAGGGAUCUCACACUUACUAAUUUAAAGAAAAAGGCAUUUUGGUAUGUGCCAUCGGUACGGAGAUUAUAUCAUGUCGAUAUCUUGUUAACACAAUACGGCACGGCAGAUACGAUAUAUUUUGAUGGGCACUUAAAUUCUUGAUUAAGAAGAUAAAGUACAUUUUAGCAAUUAUAUAUUCAAGUUUUUAAGUAUUAAACAAGAUUCGGAUUUUAAUGUGUUGGUGAUAUCUUUACAGCACAGUUUAUUAUUUUGGUUAAAAGCAAGGAUUUAAGUGCCGUGACACGGUGUCGUGGCGGAAACUUGCAAGUACGGUACAGCACGGUACGUGCUAAGCCGUGCCGAUGCUUGUCGAUCAAAAAAAUUCUUGUGUGCCGAUACAUAAUAGCAUGAAAUAUUUAUUUUUUUUAGCAAUAAAAUAUUCUAACUAUUUAUUAUGUCUUUUUAUCAUAUCUUUUGAACUUUAUUGAAGAAAUUACUUACUAAUUUAAAAAAUAGAGGGUUUUAAGUUGUGCCGUCGAUACGGGCUCUGUAUCGUGCAAGUAUCUUGUUGGUACGGUACAGUAUGGUGAAUACGGUCUGUGCCGACGGGUACUUAAAAUCUUGAUUAAAAGUGUUUUUGCAAGGGAAGCUCCCAGCAAAUUUACACAAAGUAUCAGAACAUGGUAGUAGCGCUUCUCCCGAAAGCAGAUUCGGGUGACACAUUAAUGAAAGUACCCAUCAAUUAGAAAAAGUUCCUUUGCAGAAGAAGCUACUAGAAAGUAGAAGCUUACUUGAAUAUUGUGCUAUCUCAACAGUCUCAAAUUGAAUAAUAUAAAAAAUAUAUAAUAAAUUUAUAAGCAACGGACACAUUAAUAAUAAUAACUGAGUUACCGACCGUCCCUAGAGCAAAUAGCAAAGAGCUUGGUGGUUGAUACGCGAGACCCAAAUUCGAAUCCUAGUUGAUUCACAUUUCCAGCUAAAUUUAUUUCUAAAUGAAAUAAACGAAACGAGUAACGUGCUACCUAUCUCUGAAAAAAAAAUAGGCUAAAUUACAGAAAACCCCCCUGUAAUAACCCGCUUUUUCACUUUCCCCCCUGACAUUUAAAAACCUACACUUUGCCCCCUUGUAAAAUGAAAAAUGUGCACUUCACCCCUACCGUUAGGGUUCCGUUAGGGGUUCUGUUAAAAAAUAUUUUUUUAUACCGAAAAUACCCCUCUGCCUCUUCUCUGAUGCUUCGCUCCCUCCAGCUCGCCGCUUCGCCGCCUCGCGGCCUCGCCGCUUCGCCGUCCUCCACUGCUUCGCGCUCGCCCACAUCCCUUUCGUUCUCCUCCGCCACCUCGCCUUCGCCCUCGUUGUCCCUGCCUACCUCUCCAUCAACACCCAUCUUAGUAUCCUCCCUACUGUCGCCGAAAUCGAUGGGCGGCGACGGUGUAGGAGGAGAAGGGGAGCAGGUGGAGAAGAAAUUGGAGAGGAAUCGUGGCCGAUUGAGGUGGAAAUAGCGGCGGAUCGAAGGGGCGGCUGAGGAAGCUCAGGAAGAAGACAACAAUGGCGAGGGGCAAAAUGGUCAUUUUACACACCGUGACCCCCCUGUGAACAUUUUUCAUUUUACAAGGGGGCAAAGUGUAGGUUUUUAAAUGUUAGGGGGGGAAAGUGAAAAAGCGGGUUAUUACAGGAGGGUUUUCUGUAAUUUAGCCAAAAAAAUAAUAACUGAGUUUAAUUAUUUUAAGUCGGUGGUUUAGAUCCAACGAGUUAUUAUUACUGGCGUGUCCGAUUAUCGUUUGAUAAAUUUGAAACUAUGUGUAUUAUUGGAUUGGACUGACGAGAAUGUGAGGCCCAAUGAGUUAUUAUUAUUAGCGGGAGAAAUCAUUACAAAUAUAAUAAUUAACUAUCUUCAUAUGUGUAUAUUUGUGUAUUUGUUGAUAAUAUUAACAUUUUUGUCCGUGCAGGUGUAGCUGAGAUUUCUAAUUUUUCUGAGGCUCCACUUGAACAUGAUUUAUCAAUAACACAAUAAAAAGUAAAUUUAAGUAGUGAUGAAAAGCGUUAGCAAAUCUAUAUCCAUACUGCUUAUAAAAAAGAGAGCUCUAAUAUCAAUUUUUUUUUUUUUUUCAAAAUACCGCUCUCUAUAAAAAUAAUGUAUAUAUUACAAUUGUACAAGUUUUAUUUUUAUUUUGGAAAAUACAUUAACUCGUAGUAAUUGGAUCUUAUCCAAUAGCCAACACAUCUAAGUAUCUUUUAUUUUUUUAUACCUAAAUUGCCCUUAAGCUUGUAUAAAGGCCCUCUCAACCAUAGGCCAUCACCAAAUAACUCUUAAACUUUAUACUUUUUAUUAACAAAAAUUUUAAUUUUGAUUAUAAAAUUAUUUAAUUUUAAACUUUACAAUUAAAAUUUUUAUCAAAUUCAUUAAUAAUUCUUUAGUAUUUAAUUAGUCAAUAAUCAUUACAUUUUACAAACUUUUUAAAUUAUUUGGAAUAACUUAAAUAAAAAGUUGAGGAGCUUUUUUUUCUUUAAAUGUUCCAUAGUUGAGGCUUUUUAGCACCUUUUAUUUAAAACUCUCAAAAUUUUCGUUUGUAGUCAUUUUUUUUAUUUUAAAAAAGAAUGGCUUUAUCUUGUUGCCAUUUUCUCUUUAUUAAAAAAAGCUAUAUAUAUAUAUAUAUUUGAGUAUAAAUAAGAAAAUUUAAGUAUGUUAAAUAAGAGCUUCAUGAAAUCCGAAUCCAAACCCGAACCCAAAAAUUCAAACCCGAAAUAAUUAUUUUUCUUUUCAAUAUUUCAAAAUAUAUUGUAUUAAAUCUAAAUUUUUAAAAUACAAAUUUAAACAUAACAUCAAUUUUUUAUAUACAUAUUAUAUAUAAUAUAAAAUAAAUUCGGGUUCAGGCCAGGUUCAAGUCGAGUUCGAGCUCUGAUUGGGUACAAUCAAAAUUUAUAUCCGAAAUCGUAUCCGUCGGGUUUUAUUUUUGAUAUUCAUGUCUGAAAUCAUAUUCAUUUAGCAUCAAAUAAAUUUGCUCUGUUCGAAUUCGAAUUCAGAUAAAAUUUUGGAUAUCUUGUCUGGCAUCGGCAGCCAUGCCUAGCUAGUUCUAGAAGCAUGUACUGUCUUCGGGUGAGAGAUCAUACAGAAGAAACGGAGAAUGGACAAAACAAAAGCGCUUAAUUUGGUGUGUAGUGCUUUUUUUCAAAAAAGUUAUAAAGAAAAAGUCAAAAUUCUUAUAAACUGUGGGUACAAUUGACCGCAAGGUUUUCCUUAAUAGACGUGACCCUCACGAGUUCACUUUUUUUUUUUAAGAGUUAUAAGUAGCACGACAUCCGCUUCGUUUAUUUUAUUUAGAAAUAAAUUUAACUAAAAAUGUGAAUUAAUUAGCAUUCUAACUUGAGAACUCGGGUAUCAACAAUCAAAUUCUUUGCCACUUGCUCCAGGAACAGUCGGUACGAGUUCACAUUUCACCCCUAAUAAAAGAGUGUUUAUCAAAAUGCAAUGCACAAAACAUACUGGCGCAUAGGCCUGGCAAACGAGCGAGCCGGCUCGUGUUCGACUCGUGUUCGGCUCGAUAUUCGGCUCGCUCGAGCUCGACUCGAAAUUAAAUGAGCCGAGCUUGAACAAAAUAAAAGGCUCGAAAUUCAUUUCAAGCCGAGCUUGAGUAUUACUCGGCUCGUUCGAAUUAGGCUCGAAAAGCUCGAAAAGCUCGAAUAUAUAUAUAUAUAUAUAUAAUAUGUAUUUUAAUCAUAUAUAGGCUUUAAUUUAAUUUAGGCCAUUAUUGUUGGCCGAUAAAAUAAACCCAACAAGUACAACCGUGCAAUUGAGCCCAACUCUAAAUUUACAUAACACAUUCUCUCUUUCAGACUUUCACUGUUACACAUAACCCUAAAACAUGAUAACAUUCAAAUUCCCAAAUUCCUAAUAUUUUUCCUCCCUCUCUCUCUCUCUCUCUCUCUCUCUCUCUCUCUCUCACUCAGACCCUCAUCUAGUCAGGAAGUCACCCUAGCUCAUAUUUCUUACAAUUAUUUUGUAUUUUGAACUAUUGGACAUGUUGCAUCAAAUUGUAGGUAAUGUUCUAUAAAAAUUAAACUAUUGAUUAUAUAAUGUCGAGAAUUUCAAUCGGCUCGUUUAGAGCUCGAGCUCGGCUCGACUCGAAAUUAGGCUCGCUCGAGCUCGGCUCGAAUUAAUUUCAAGCCGAGCUUGAGCCUAGAUUUAGGCUCGAAAUUAAUUUCAAGCCGAAUUUGAGCUGACAUAAGCUCGCUCGAGCUCGGCUCGUUUCCACCCCUACUGGCGCAUCAUGUGCAGUUUGUCGAGAUGCAGUGCACAAGACAUAUUAAUGCAUCAUGUGCGGUCGAUAAUUUCUUUACACUCUCGCUCUUGGAUUCGAAUAGGCUCACUGUAAAAGUAUAUUUGGUUUGAAGGAUUUGAAGCUCGGAGUUUGAACUAGAAUGAUUCAUUCUCAUUCUGGGCGUGUCUGGUUCGCUUCUUUUUCAUCCUAGAAUCGAAAUCAAAAUCGGCGAAUUCGUUUGUGGGUGUUUGAUACGUGGGAGUGUCAUUUCGAUUCUGAUUCCCGAGGAAUGGGAAUUCCCAAUCACCUUUUUUUCCAAUUCGGCCUCCUAGGCCGAUCAGAUUGGAAGUUGAAUCCGGACGGAAGGGAUAUUUAUUCAGAUUAAAUUUAUUUUUUCAAUUUUUUUUAAUUAAAAUAUGAGUUUAAAUUUAGAAAUUAAAUUUAUAAUUUUAAAUUUUAAUUUGAACUUGAAUUAAAAAUUAAAAUUUAAUCAAGUAUUUCGAAUCUAACUUAUGAAUUUGAAUUUAAAUUAAAUUUUAACUUAUAUAAAGUUUUAUUCAAAUUUUAUUUAAAACUUAAAUUAAAUUUAUGGAUUAAAAUUAAAAUUAAAAUUAUAAUUUUAAGUUUGAAUUUGAAUAAAUUAAAAUUUAGUUUUAUAUUUUGAAUUACCCACUCAACUUCAAAGUGUAAUUUUUUUAAAAAAAUAGAUUUAAAAUUUUAACAUUAUUUCAAAAUUUUGAUGUAAAUUUUUAAUAUUAAAUUUUAAUUUAAAUUUAAAUUAAUAUAUUAUAAAAAUAAAGUUAUUAUAUUAAUUUAAUUACAUUUUUUAUAUCUAGCUAAACCAAACACUGACAAUGGAAAUGAUUUAUUCCGAUUCCGAUUCAGGGGAUGAACCAAACAGAAUUAGGUAAUGAGUCAUUCCGAUUCCGAUUUCAGCUUAUUUCGAUUCUGAUUUCAAUUCAGAUUUUCAAACCAAACACGCCCCCGUUAGUGUUUGGUUAAAAAUAUGUUUACUGAGAUGCAGUAGUGCACAGAACAUACUGGUGCAUCAUGUGCAGUUUGUCGAGAUCCAGUGCACAAGACAUAAUGAUGCAUCAUGUGGAGUUGAUAAUUUCUUUACCCUCUCGCUUUUGGAUUCUAAUAGGUUUACCGUAAAAGCAUAUUUGAUUUUGAAGGAUUUGAAGCUUGGAAUUUGAAUCGGAAUGAUUCAUUUUCAUUGUUGGUGUUCAGUCUCAAAUAUUGACAUUUUGAUUCGCAUUUUGGGAGAAUCGAAUUCUCAUAAAAUAUUUCCCCCCAGGGAGGUAGAAAUCAACUUUGAUUCGGAAAGGAAUUGAGAAAAGAAACUUUUUUCACUAGAAAUUAUUUAAAUUCAAAUAUUAAUCUAUAUCUAAUUUUAGAUUAUAAUUUAUGUCUGAAUUUGAAUUAUGGAGUCAAAAAUUAAAUUUUUUAUCAUUAAAUUAUAAUUUUAUAUUUGAAUUUGAGUAACGGAUUCAAAUUUUAGUUUUAAAUUUCUUAAGUUCAAGUUUAAAUUUGAAUACAAGUUUGAUAUUUUAACCUAGUUCUAAAUUUACAUUUUAACUUUGAUCUUGAAUUUUAAUUGUAAAUUCAAAAUUAAAGUUUGAAUUGUAAGUUCAAGUUUGAGAAUUCAAAAUUUGAUUACAGAUUUGAGUAUUAAAAUAAAUUUCAUUAAAAAUUAACUUUUUAAAAUUUUAAUUUGAAUAUAAUUUCGAUUUUGAGUCCUCUUAUGAACCAAACAAAAUAGAGUUUUUAUUGCUCCGUUUUCGAUUACGGUCCACUUUCAUUCCAGCUAAAGAGGAGUUUUGGGUCCGAGCCCUCUCAAUAUUUUAGAUCUUGUACUUAAAUAGGCUUCAACCAGGCCCAUAUGCAAAAUUAAAUGCUUAAGAGACCUUUUGGUUCUGUGGAGAAGUGUGGAUAAUUAUUUCUCUAAAAAAAAAAGCUUUUCAUAAAAAAUAUCUUUUUUUUCAUAGUUUUAAUUUUUCAAAUAAAAAUUCAAAAUGAAAAUACUAUGUUUCCUAUCGACUAUUUCUCCAAGGAUCCAAACGGACACAAAUUACUUUUUUCAGCCAGAAAACUAGUUUAUGUGAUAUUUGUCGAAAAACCAAACACCCCCUAGAUUAAAAUGGCUAUACAAAUGUCACGCCCCGGAUUACUCAUUUUUCCGGACACACUAACAUACACAUAGGAAUUUUUCCUAUAUACGAAGCGAAACUGUACAUGUAUAUGUAAUCAUACAACACUACAACCAAUAGUAUAGAGCUACUGAAAUAAAACAUAUAUAAACAACAGAGGUUCACUAUACAUACAUAGCAUCCUGGUAUACAAAAUCACUCGCUUUAACGAGAUACAAACAUCAGUAUGUAUAAUAACUCAAAAACUACAACUAGACUACCUGUAGCUGGUACUCCUCUAGCUCUGUGACUCGUCAAGAAGGGAUCUAACUCGUAACACCCUUUCCACGAUCAGUACAAGUAAUAAUAACAGCCGCAACCGAAGGCUCUGCAAAAGAUUCACAACUGGACGUGAGAACUACUGCAAAAAGAAGUAGUCCUCAGUGGGUACCGCUACCGACCUCAAUGGCCCACCCAUUAAGUUUACAAAUAAUAUACUCAAUGAUAGUAAAGAACUAAAACAAUUUACAGCUAUAUGCCACUAUAUGUAGUGUUUCUGAGCUUUGGGUAGGAUUGACUUCAGUGUUAGUGACUGGUCGGUACAUCUGGAGAGUUUCUGACUGAGUCGGAGUCGUUUCUACGCGAAAUGGAUGCAGAAAUGGAUUCGGCGCACUCAAAUAAGCAAAACUAUAGUUUUGCCAGAUUCGGGCGCCCAGAACUGGCCUUGGGUCGCCCAGAUGUUGAGUGCAGAACUGAGCAGAACUGGAAGCCAAUUCGGGCCCAUAUUUCGGGCGCCCGGAUGAGGGUCCGAAAAGUUCACCUUGUGAGUAUCGUUUGCGCUGACACGUGGUUGGUGGUUGGUGAGGUCCGCCAGAGCCGGAUACGGGCGCAGCACACCACGGGCGAAGAGUUCGAGGAGGAAGCUUUGUAUAGCCUAGAGGAUUCGGGCGCCGGAGCUUUUUUAGGAGUAUAUAAGUAAUUGGGCCUAUUAAUAACUGAAUUAAACAUUUUGAGCUGAUGAUCUGAAUCUAACAAAUUAGCGAUAUUAAUGAAAUAUAUCUUUACAUUUGGUACUAGAACUGAAAGUGUAGGCCAGAUAUCACAUACUUUCUCGUCUGGGUCUAAACAGUGAGUUGAGUCUGCAUCUAACAAGUUAAUCUUAGAAGUGCUUGUGUGGGAAGCACUUUUUUUUUUUUUUUUUUUUCCUUCCUUUAAGAGUGCAUUAUAUAUUAUAGGUCCAUAUCAAGUAGGGAUGUCAACGGGUCGGGUUUGGGUCGGGUUUUUAAAAACCCGAACCCGAACCCGAAAACCAAAUUAAAAUCCGUACCCGGACCCGAACCCGGCGGGUUUUAAAAAUCUAUACCCAUAUCUGUACCCGACCAAAAACCCGAAACCCGAACUCGGACCCGGAUCCGGACCCGGCCGGUUUUAAAAAUCCAUACCGUUAAAUGAAGAUCUAAGAGAUAAAAAUUAUUAAAUAUUUUAUAUAUUAUAUAAAUAAAUAAAAAUAAAGUAUGUAUGUAUAUAAUUUAUUCGAGUUUGGGUUUGGGUUCGGGUUCGGGUUCGGGUUCGGGUUCGGGUUCGGGUCGGGUAAAUACAAAAUCCAUAUCCGUAUCCAUAUCCGUCGGAUUUUUAUUUUCUAUACUCAUAACCAAAUCCAUACCCGUUUAAUUCGGGUAAACCCGCCCUGUUCGAAUUCGGGUAAUAUUUCAGAUAUCCAUACUCAUUGACAUCCCUAAUAUCAAGUGCUCUUGUUUGAGAUCUCUCUUUUUGUUCAUUCAAAGACAUGACCGCAGAAUGGGGCAUUUGACUAUUUCUUAGGCCGACAUGAAAAGCACUUUUUAUCUAUUUGCGUUACACAAUCAUAAUGUUUGCUGCCUUUUUGGCUUGGAAUCAUGGUCUAGUCGCAUGCACUCAAAGCAAAGCUUUUUCUUUUUUUUUUUUCUUUUUUCUUUGAGUAAUACAGUGCCAACUAUAUAGCAAAUAUUAACGCUUCAAAAAAAAACGUUAUUAUAUAAUCUCUUCAAAUAAAUUAUUAUGCUAUUUUUAAUUUUUCAAUGCUUUCAACCAUCCGAAUUUAAUAUGUAUUGACGCUUAUAAAGUGUCGGAAUAUAUCUCACAGACGUAUAGUAUAAACACUUAUCGAUGCUAUACACGAAUCCAAUAUAACUUUCAUUUAUCAAAUAGAACGUCAUAAUUUGAAAUUUAUAGCCGGACAGGAUCUUACCUCUAAUUCUAGCACGGAUCAAUUUGAUCAAACUAAAGUUUUUACAGAAUAGUUACGAUUUUGAGCAGAACCAUAAGAAAAUCUAUAAUACUUCUAUUUCCGGGGCCCAGAAACUUAGUUAUUUUCCAUUGUUCAAGUAGUGAAAUUAUUCGAGAGGCACCAAAUUCAUGGUACACAAUGAUUUACACAUUUGGAAACGGUAUUAGGAGAAACAAAAGUAACACUAUUAUUAAGUACCUUAUAAAUCCCCUAAUAUUAUUAAUGCACACCUUUAGAACAUCUCACCCAAAAUGUAUAAUUUUAGCAACUUAAGUGGGAGAAAGGAAAAAAACAAAAGAACUUGUCUCCGUAUAUAUAAUUGUGUCUUCUAAGCUAAAGAAGAUCACAAUGUGCAAUGCAUUACUUUUUUUUUUUUUUCUUUUGCCCUUUUUCCCCUUUUAAAGGCACAGAGACAUAAUAGAGAAGAUAACUAAGCAUGAUGGACUCAUGGGGCCUCAUGUUAGCUAAAUUGUAGCAUAAUGUCAAUGCAUUACUUCUCUCUCUCUCUCUCUCUCUCUCUCUCUCUCUCAUACUUUAACUAGAAUACUUUCUCUCUCUCUCUCAUACUUUAACUAGAAUACUUUAACUAGAAUAAAAUUCGUAUCUAAAUUUAUUAAAAAAUACGGCCUAAAAAAUGGACUCGUCGAUUAUUUGAAUAUUCAAUUUAUACGAAAAUUAUAUCCACCAAUUAAAAAUUCAGAAUAAAAAAUUCGGCUAUUAAAUUAAACUUUUUUCUCCAGAUUUGUACUAUUAGCAUAAAAAGUUAUAAUUAAUUCUUAAGAAUAUAAAAAUAGAAAGUUAUAAAGUAAAGUAAAUUAAGUAAAAAAAAGCAAGUAAAGCUCGUUGCCGUCUCCAUCUUCAUCUUUUUCAUAAUCCACGUAUUCGAAAAGUUUGUAAAGCUUUCUAAUAAUUUACAAAUUAACCAACUACGUUGGAGGAAAUAAAUUAUCCAAAAAUUCUGCGUGUUUUUUUAACUGAAUAGCUCGGCAUACGCGAAUUAUUCGCGAUAAUAAAUCUAAUCCAUAAAUUUUAUAUUUUACUUUUUUAAAUAUAUAUAUAUAUAUAUAUAUAUAUAUGAAUUAACUGUCUCAUUCAAAUUUUUAAAAAUUUAUAAAUAAUUUAUGAAUAAUUUGCAAAUAAACUGACUAUGCAUCAUCUCACAUGUUCCCAGCUGGGUAUGUGAAUUUCAAGGUUUUUAUUGAUGCAUGGUAUUCGAUCGAGAGGUGAUUACAACAUCCCACGUGAAUCCAGAGGAGUCUAUGAUCCCAUGCACGCCCCUUCUACUUAAUUAUUACACUAAAAAGAUGAGCACUCAUGGCCCCACGUGAGGUGACAUGCAUCAAUUAAAAGAGAAAACCCUUGCCUUAGUGUAACUAGCUAGUACAAUUAGAGCUAUAUUCAGAUUAAUAUAAUGAGUUGGAGUACUAUAAUUUUAUGAGUAUAAAUAUAUAUAUAUAUAUAUAUAUAUAUAUAGUUGAGCUAGAAUGCUAUCGGUAGUAAACGAGUCAUUUUACUACCGAUUUGUUUUCGAUGAUAGAGUUUCAAAAUUGACGAUCGGCUCCGUUAAUUAUGAUCUAAACCAUUUAAACUUCCUAGAAAUCAAAUUUCACGCACUUUCGAUAUUAUUCUUUUAUUCAUCAAGUGAACAGAAAAAUGAAUGACUGAAAAUGAAUACUCUUUAAAAAAUGAUGAUAGGGGUCUUGUAAUCAAGAUUAAGAGUAUAGAUCUUGUUUUAAAUAGUUUAAAGAAUUUUCUAACAAAAAUUCAAUUGAUUUGAAUAUCUUUACGCCGGUAAACGAGAAAACGCCUCUUAUCGACCAUUAAAAUUACAAAUUUUGAAACCCUUUGAUCAUUAGGCAAAUGAUGUCGAAAAUAUUUGAAAUUUAAUUUCUAAACACUUCAAGUGGUAUAGAUCAUGUUUAACAGAGCCGAUCGUCAAUUUGGAAGCUCUAUCAUCGAAAACAAAUCGGUAGUAUAACAACUCGUUUACUACCGAUAGUAUUCUAGCUCAACUCUAUAUAUAUAUAUAUAUAUGUCCUUUUACACCAUCGUUGAAUCUAUCUUUUUAAUUAUUUUCAUCUGUUACAUUAUAUUAUUCAACCAACCAUCCAUUCAACCUUAAAAAAUUACUAUCAUUCUAACCGAAAAUCACUAUCAUCCUAGCCGCAUAUUUUUUCAUCUAACACUUGAAAACUUAUGAGUACAAAAGGCUCUGUACUCAUACACAAGUAGUUCCGGAACUUUGACAAUUUUAUUUGCCACUUAUUCUUUAAUUAAAAGUAAUUUUAGUAUUUUUUAAAAAAUAAUUAUGUGAAAAAUUAAUCAGUUAUAUUAUUUGAUAUUAAAAGGUUAUUGCUAGAAAGGU
This 57713-nucleotide long non-coding RNA is filed under the name Ananas comosus (pineapple). RNAcentral's name for it is "long non-coding RNA (ACOM_LNC010675)". The record is from RNAcentral. Lineage: Eukaryota; Viridiplantae; Streptophyta; Magnoliopsida; Poales; Bromeliaceae.